This 49323-nucleotide long non-coding RNA is filed under the name Lactuca sativa (garden lettuce). Its description in RNAcentral is "long non-coding RNA (LSAT_LNC007405)". Lineage: Eukaryota; Viridiplantae; Streptophyta; Magnoliopsida; Asterales; Asteraceae. The record is from RNAcentral.
AGAGACGUCGACCGCCUUUCGCCAAAUUCUAGGUCUUACCGACCUACUAUCAUAGUUCAUUCAGAACUCCUCGCAAACUACAGAAACCCAUACGACUUUGACCCAGCAAGGGGUGGCCUUUGUCUGGGAAGUUAAACAAGAAAAAGAAACCUUGGAGAUUCCAAGUGAGUGACCAAAUUCUUUAUGAAGUCUCACUCGGGAACGGCUUAAUACGCCUCGUAAAGCGUGGAAAGCUAAAUCCAAGAUAGACAGGACCUCCGAGAUUCUUAUCAGAAUUGGUCCUGUGCCUCGCAAAAACUAGACCUACUCCGCGAACUUAGUAACGUACAUUCUACUCUUCGCGUCUCUAUCGUGAAACCAUACCUUUCUGUUAGGACUCUUGUAGGUCCACUCGUCGAGAUCCUUGCCUUCGUAUUAGAACCUUAGUGACCCUCGACCGAGAGGUCAAGCGGACGAAGCAGCGCCAUCGCCUGAUAGUGAAGGUUUGUUGGGAUUCCAAUCGAGAACCUGAUUUCACUUAGGUACGCUAGAACCAAUCGAUUAGGAAGUUUCCUCCUCACGACUCGAUCAUUCGUACAUACUUCCUUGCCUAAAUUCAAAUUUCGGGACGAAAUCCCCUUCAAUAGGGGGAUGAUGUGGCAACCCGAAAUUUCCAUUCUAAACAAACCCUUUGAAGCCAAUAGAAGUAGAACAGUUACAGUGAAAAUUCAGAUUUCGAGUAUAAGUUUGGUAGUGUUCAGGAUUUUACACUUAGGAGAGUGGAUGCACUAGGGUUUUGUGCAACACUGUUAUUCCAAUACUCUAGGACAUUGGAAUUCGUUUCAGGAAUAAAAAUAUUUUCUGCCAAAAAUAACUCAGGACUAUAAAUAGAAUUUUGAACCAAAUAGUUCAUUAGUUACAUUUCCAAUUAGAGAAAAGCCAAAAUUCUCUCUCACGAAUCUUCGGGUUUUGAUCCCAAAUUGUGAGUAACUCUUUCUAGUAGUGUUAGAAAGCUUUAAAUGUGUUCAUAACAUAGAGUACAUAGCUAAAUCAUUCGAUUUAGGAGUUUACUCCCCAAGGUGUUCUUGGGCGGUAAACUUCCGAAACCAAGCCUAGAUUGUCCCCCGUGAGUUGUAACUACCUUGGACUUGUAUAGGAGUGUGUUAGAGACAUGAAAACAAGAAAGAAUCACCCAUGUUUGGACUUCUCUUUCCUUUUGCUACAUUGAAAUGACACCUCAAAGCUUAGAACACUCACAAACAAGCUAUGAACGAAGGAACAACUCUCUUAGGGUUUCUUUCUGAAGGAUGCUGGCUGAGGAACCAAGCCAUCUCAUUCCUUUUAUAGCCAACAACUCAAAUUAGGGUUUUGGGUCUGGACCGGUUACGCCCAGCGUAACCUUAGGUAUGCCCAGCGUACCCGGGUGACAACGCGUUCAAUUUAAGCGCGCGAGUACGCGCAGCGUACUCUUUGUACGCCCAGCGUACUCGCCCCAACACAAAAGGGCCAACAUGACAUAUAUGAAAAGAUGAAGGGCUAAAAGGUUAUACCUGAAUUUCGGGCUGUUACACACAAUGCUGAAGGUUUUUCGAGAAAAUCAUUUUAAUUUUUCAAUCAAAAUCAUGUUUAUUAGUGAAUUUCUUUUACCCGGUCGACGGGAUGGGCUUGGAGAAGAGGAAGCAACAGGGAUACAAUAGGGUAAUGAUGGUGUUAAACAAAUGAAUAAGUUUAAUCCAUUUAUGGUAAAUUUAGUUUAAUUCUUAUCUCUUUACUUACAAAAUAAAUAAACUAUAAUUAAUUUGAUAACUUUUAAAACUUAGAUUUGUUUACUCAAUAAUUUUUAUGUUAUCAUAUAUUAUUAUUGAUGAUAACUAAAAUUAAAAGAAUAUCAAACAUACUUUUCCAACAUAUAUACAUCUAAACUAAAAUGGUUAUAUAUAUAUAUAUAUANAAAUUCUGAAACCCUAGCCCAUAUGACUUAAUUCCAUUACCCUCAUACCCUAACCCAUAUGACUUAGUGCCAUAACCCUUUAACCCUAACCCAUACGACUUAAUGUCAUAACCCUUAAAUACUAACCCAUACAACUUAAUGCUAUAACCCUUAAGCUCAUGACCUCUGUGAAAUGUCUUAACCUUUAAACCAUAAACCAUAUGACUUAUAGCCAAAACCCCCUAACCCAUGACCCAUUGGACUCAUUGUGAGUCGGUGUGAGGAUAGGUCAGGGUGUUUCUAGUAUGAUGUUUGUUUCGAUUGGUUUGAAAUAAUUUUAUCUUUUUUAUGUCAUUUUUGUUUGUUGUAAGCUUUAUGCAAAAAUAAUGUUAUUGUACUUCGUUUUUGUUAUGAAUUUAUUUAGUUAUGAACAUAUAUUUUUGAAUUGAUUGUUGAACAUGUGUGUUUGUAUUUACAUAUUAUAAAAAAAUUGUAUUAAUUUAUAGAGAAAAUUUUGAAAUAAUAAUUAAAAAUUAUAAAAACAGAAUAAAAAUUUAAUUCUAAAAGAGAGUUUACCAUGACAGUUUUUUUAGAUAAAUUGGUUUUAAAUAAUUAAAUAAAAUAUCAGUCCCUAUUUUAAUUGAUGUGUUUUGAAAGAAUACCCAUAUAAAUAAAAUAUGAACCAAUGUAUUUAGAAGGAGAAUUAGGUCAUUUUCUCCAUAAUCAAUGGGUUUUAUAAAGCGCAUCCUUUAAUUGACCAAUUCUAUUUUCAAAGAGAUUUAAGUUUUUUGAAUUAAUAAAUGUGAAAAAAUACCCUUACCAUUAAAAAAUAAAGCAUUGUAUUAUAAGGGCAAUUAGGUCAUUUCACACUCUACCUGUUUAGACACAACAAUUUGGUGUUAUCCGUCACCCUGGCCAUUCAGUUUUCGACGAUCGAGCAACUUGAAGCAUUCCCAUUCCAGAACAUCAAUAUUCCGACAUAGUGAAUAACCCUAAAAGCUUUCUUGUUUUGUAAUCUUUAUCACUUUCGAAGUAGAUGAACAUCAUGUCAUCGAGUGAUUCAUCAAGAAAGUGAAGAAGGCAUCAAGGAACAUCGAUUACUUCUGUACCAUCGCACCUGGGAAUAAAUCACUAAUCGAUGCUUUCAAGUGUCGGAUAGUGUAAGUUCCGUGUAUAUUACAUCUAUUACAUGUAUAUAUAUAUAUAUAUAUAUAUAUAUAUAUAUAUAUAUAUAUAUGUAUACACUUACAUGGAUACUUGUACCUAGAUUCAUUAGGAUGAUUUACUAGUACAUUAUGUGUAANAAUUUUGUGUUUAAUAGAUGAAUUUUGUGUGUAAGUUAUAGUUGCAAAUUCUUUAGAGAAUCUGCAAAAUCGGAAGUAAUAUUUAAAAUCAUUGAUACAAAUUGGUUAACAUUUCGCCCAUUUAGUAUCCAUUAGUAUGAUGUCCUCCUCAAAUGAAAUUUUUUAAAAAACCUACAUAGUCUUUAAAUAUGGAAUGGUACUCUUUUUCUGUGCAUUCUAUUAAUUAAACAAUUUAUUAUUGUUUUGUAUUUCUUUAUAUUAAAUUUGUUUGAUUGCUUAAUGUAUUUCAGGCUAAUUUUUUUUUUUUUUUUGUGAGAAGAUGAGCCUGGGAAUAAGAUGCUUCAAGAUGUAACUGACAAGGGAAAUAUUGAUGCAAUAUUCAUAUUGGGAAUGAUUCUGAUGGCGGAAGGCGAACAGAUGAAGCAAGAAGCUCUGGUCAUGUUGAAUAAGGCGUAUAUUAGUACAAGAUGAAGUUUGUCACACCCCAAAACCGAGAACGGUGGAAACGUUCUGGGGCGGAGGACGUCAUGUAAUGUGUCACAACAUGGUAGUGGUAAACAAGCAUACAACAUCAUCCAUUGCAUUAAAUAUAUAAUUUUAAUACAAGCGUGUUCUGUACAGUUUUAGACACCAAAAAUAUAAUGUAAAUCAAAAUAAUAAGAUGAGUCUUGGAUGCGCUCCAUCUUCUCAAAAGCUGGUCUCGGUACCUGUCUACUGAUAACCUGAGAAUACAAGUUAUUUUGAAAGCGAGUAUCAGCAUUAAGCUGGUGAGUUCAUAAGUAUUUUAGUGUCGGUGUUUGUUAUCAAAAUGUUUGAACAUGUCUCAAGUGUAAGUUUGUAAAAUGUAUGUAAGUGUUUGUAAAAGUUUGAAUCUCUCAGAAAAACCUAUAUUUUCUAUUAAAGUAGCCUUCUACCAAGGCUUAGCUGGUUUGUAUGCGUGUUUGUUGUAAAAGUGUGUAAUUUCCCAAGUGUAACUGUCAUUAAAAAAAUAUAGUUUGUACAUUAAUGUUUAAGUGAAAUAAUCACUAAAUGUAUGUAAUGGGUAAAUUAAUGUAGUACUGUAGUGUUGUAUUAUAGAAACUACUGCUGUACUAACUACCUUAAACCUGAUUUAUAUUAAGGUAUUAUGUGAUUAAUUGUACCAUACUAUCGACUGAGUAACAACGACAAAUGUAGCUCGUAAAAAGGUAUGACGUUUGGCACCCGCAGACUUGUAGGUCCGGCUGUAGCUAGCAGCAAGGUGUAGGAUAGUCAAUCCAGUAUAGAUAUAUACGCAAACUCACGCUCUCCCUCCAAGAAAUUCUGGUUACAACUCGGGCUAUGACAUUUAAGGCAUGCCCUAUACAGUGGAUCACAAUUGUAAACGUAUUCAUGUAUAGGUAAUGUAAUGUUACUUGUUCUAGUAUCGUUGUAUAUGUUCUCUUACUAGUAUAGUUGUGUAUGUUCCCUUUCUAGUAUAGGUUGUAAAUGUUCUCAUAGUAAUGCAAUGUAUAUGUUCUCAUAGUUAAUAAGUAUUGACUCAUGAAUGAACUGACUCAUUGAUCUAGAAUUUGUAGAAGUAUGAUCCUGUGUUACCCCGAUGGUAACUUACUGAUGAUGUAACUGAUACACAUGAAUAUGGAAGUACUUUUAUGUCUAUAUAUGCACAUAUGAUAUAUAAUUAAUAGUGAAAUGACACUCGGACGGCUACCCGACAUCCCACCAGACCACAUCCAAAUCGAGGAAAAGGAAAUAGGGCGGAUGACCUUCCUAAGUCUUUUAAACAUUUCUUAUAUAUCUAUGCAUAUAUGGACAUGCAAUUUAUAAAAAGUGUAAUAAAGUUUAAGAAAAAGUAUUUUAUAAAUAAAAGUGUUUGUAAAACAUUUUGAAGUAAAACAAUUUGAUAAACAGUAUAAACAGUUUGAACAGUGAUAAAAUCAUUGGUUUUCUAGUUAUUAAUCACAUGUGAUUGAUGUAAUAAGUAUAAGUAUUUAGCUUGUAUUCCCCCCAUAUAAAAGUAUUUUAAACAUUUAAAAGUAUUUCAAAGGUUAAUUAAAGGGGUAUGAACUCACCUAUAGUGAGUGGUUCUGAUGACAAUGUUGGAUUAGACGCUAAGUGCCAAGUGGUGACUUGAGUACAAGCGCGGAUCCUAUUUAGCAUAUAUUGGUACAUAUAUGGAUUUAAUUAGUGUUAUGAACAACUAAUUGAUGAUUUUGGGACCACCUUAGGGACUAGUAAACACUUAUAAUGAAGUGUUAUAAUCAUAUAUGAUUGUAUGAGGGUUUAUAAGGCUAUACAAGAGGGUGUAUGGCCAAAAUACACACUAUAUGUGUGUGCGGCCAACACAUGUGUGCGGCCUUGUGUGCGGCCAUGUGUGCUGCUAGGUGGUGUGUGCUGCCAUGUGUGCGGCCAGAUGAAGAUCUUGGUGUUCUUGGUGUUCUUGGUACCUUUUAUGAAGAUCUUCAAGGAGAAUGGAUGAUACUUGAGAGGAUUUUCGUGUUCUAUGCUUGAAGAAGUGAAGGAAGGGUUCAAGAAUGAUCUAAGUGUGGCAUAUAUAGGUGGAGUGUGCGGUUGGGAAGGUGUGAGGCCGCAAACAAGAGUGUGUGGCCGCACACUCAAGUGUAUGGCCGCACACUCCAUGUGUUGGAGUGUUUGGCCCGGUUUUGAUUCCUACACUUCGAGUUAACCCUUCUUAACACUCCUACCUUGAUUAUAUCACANUUGGAAUCCAAAGGAAACGUUUUAAAGGGUUCGAAGCCACUUGUUGUUGAUGGGUUUUGAGCAUUCUAACACUUCCUAAGUGUACAUGCAACCCUAAUAACCAUGGAUCUAUGUUUGCCUAAUUAUCAUGCAAAGUUGAAUUCCAAGGUUAUAUUCCUAUCUAGCAUACAUAGGGAAUAAUUUUUAACUUGAAUGAAAGAUAGAAUAACUUACCUUGUUAUUGCUUAUGUUCCUUGAAACCUUCUGAGCCUAUCACCCCAAGUGUGAUGCCUUAAAUGCUUCACACAACACCAAAUGCUCUUGGAAAGACUUUUGAGAGAACACACACUUCUUAAAAUCGGUCUAGCCCUCUUGUUUCAUAUGUGUAGCCGCUUUUGGUGGAGAAUGGGACUCUUAUAUAGUGUUGACACAUCUAGGGUUACACCAUGUAAACCCUAAUGUGUCAUGAGUCUUCAUUUCCAUGACCGAUGGGUUUGAAACUCCCAUGGAGCAUCCACGGAGCAUCCUAUGGGUGGUACCCAACUUGAUAAUCCAUGGAGGCUCUUAGUCCACUAUACAAGAUAUUGAUGAUUUACAUAAUCAACCCAUAUAUUUAAUUAGUUAUCUUUUGAUCACUUAAUUAAUUCUAAAUUAAUUCUUUAUCAAACUAAUCAAAUAAUAUUAUUAAUAUAUUAGAACUUAUAAUAUAUUAAUAAUCUCCAAGUGUUAUUUCUCUCAUUUAGUCUAUCCAAUUGCAUGGUGCCAUGCAACCCAAAUGGACCAUGCCGGGUCGGGUCAAGUACAAGCCCGAAAUAGUUAUGGACUUAGACACCUUAUCCAACAGUCUCCCACUUGGAUAAGUCUAAUAACUAUAACUUUAUUACUUCAGGAACCGAACGACAAUCGUAGCUCUUUCAAGGUCUCUAGGAACUGAGAAGAUGAUGAUACGCCAUUUAAGAUAAGUGAUCAUAUAAUCCUCUAUUCUAGAUAACAGCAAAACAAAUACAUGGAACAAUGUCUUACUUAUUGUCCAGCAGUUUAUUUCCCGAUUUCCGAUUUGUUUAACAAAGAACUUAAUUGAACACAUCAACUUAGUUCUGACCGGGCCCGGUACAUGGGUCAAAACAAAAUCAUCGAGGGGCCCAGAUAUCAGCUUCUAAUCCAAGAAGGAACAGAUAAACUUCGACUCAUAUGUUUGUUCUACCACUCAUUGAAUUACACACAAAAGUACGUUUUAUAACAUCGAGUUACCAAUGCGGUUUCGUACAGUCAAUGCAUAACCAACUUGUAAGUAACAAAUCAUAUCUCUAGGUUUGAAGACUUAUAUGAUAUUACCGUCUCACGAUCACUCGAGAUAGAAUUCCAUGAAGUGAUUCCAGUGAGCGUGGGUUGAGUCCAAUGCUCAGAACUUAUGAGCACUCAUGAUUNCCAACACCUUAGACCUCUACAACCAAUCAUGACAGUCUCGAUUCAUACCUACUUCCGACAUAUGACCGACAGUGGAGGUUUGAAUAAUAUAAUAUACCAAACAUAUUUAUUCUGGAAGUCAAAAAUGCAAAAGAAAUAUAGUAAACGAUCGACAAGAGAGAGCAACACUUUACUCAUAAAUAAAACACCAUUUAUUUAUCAUCUAAUGUCGAUUACACUUUACAAAUUUCGAGGUUAUCUAACUACUAAAUCUAAUAUUAUCCUUCAGGCCUAUGCUCCGAGCAUGCUAGAGAUGCUUUACCCAAGUCAGUCCCUUCGUGAGGGGAUCCGCUGGAUUCUCAUCCGAUGAUACCCUCUUUGCCACGAGGAGUCCUUCUUCUAUUCGAUGUCUGAUAAAUUGGUAUUUUCUGUCGAUGUGUCUUGAUUUCCCGUGAUCUCUUGGUUCCUUGGCUAAGGCAACAACGCUUUCACUAUCACAAAAAAUUUCCAUUGCCUCUUUAAUAGCUAGUAAUACUCCAAGGUCUCCAAUGAAGUUCUUCAGCCAUAUAGCCCCCUUUGUUGCCUCGCUAGCUGCAAUAUACUCUGAUUCACAAGUUGAAUCAACCACUGUCUCUUGUUUGGAACUCUUCCAAGAAAUUGCUCCUCCGUUUAGGGUAAAGACCCAGCCCGACUGAGAGCGGAAAUUAUCCCUAUCAGUCUGAAAGCUAGCAUCACUAUACCCUACAACUCUCAAGUCAUCACUCCCACCAAGGGUAAGGACCCAGUCCUUAGUCCUCCGUAGUACUUGAGGAUAUUCUUUACCGCAGUCCAGUGUGCCUUAUCAGGGUUCCCCUGAUACCUGUUAACCAUUCUCAGGGCAAAGGCUACAUCAGGUCGAGUACACGUCAUAACAUACAUGAUCGAUCCUACAGCCGAAGCAUAAGGUAUUCGACUCAUUUUUGCUAUCUUAGCCUCAGUGCUAGGGCUUUGUGUCUUACUCAAUCUGGCAUUACUCUAGAUGGGUAACUCUCUUUUCUUGGAGUUCUGCAUGCUGAAUCUCUUCAACACCUUAUCCAAGUAGCUACUCUGACUAAGACCAAUUAGUCUUUUACUUCGAUCUCUUAAGAUCCUUAUCCCUAGAAUAUAGGCGGCUUCUCCUAGGUCCUUCAUAGGGAAACACUUCCCAAGCCAGGACUUAACUUCCUGCAGAGUUGGGAUGUCAUUUCCUAUGAGUAGUAUGUCAUCCACAUACAAUACCAAAAAGCUAACUAUACUCCCACUAGCCUUGACAUAUACACAAGAUUCAUCUUCACUCCUAGAAAAGCCAAAUUCCUUGACUUUCUCAUCAAAGCAAAGAUUCCAUCUGCGAGGUGCUUGCUUUAACCCAUAAAUGGAUUUUUCAAGCUUACACACUCUAUUAGGGUACUCGUUGCUGACAAAACCUUCUGGCUGACUCAUGUAAACAUCUUCAGCCAACUUUCCAUUAAGGAAAGCAUUUUUGACAUCCAUUUGCCAUAUUUCAUAGUCAUGAAAUGCAGCUAUGGCUAACAGAACCCUAAUAGACUUAAUCUUGGCCACUGGAGAAAAGGUCUCAUCAUAAUCAACUCCCGGAGUUUGUGAGAAACCCUUUGCAACCAGUCGUGCCUUAUAAGUGUGUACUUUACCAUCCAUGUCGGUCUUCUUCUUGAAGAUCCAUUUGCACCCUACUGUCUUACGACCUGGUACAUUCUCAACCAAGUUCCAAACUUGAUUGUCAUACAUGGACUGUAUCUCGCUGUCCAUUGCCUCUUUCCACUUGGCUGACUCAGGGCCUGCCAUGGCUUCCGCGUAACUGUUAGGUUCAUCCAGACCUAUCAGUGUCUCAUCACUGAUAAGUGUAUCUCCUUCUGCAGUAAUAUGGAAUCCAUAGUAAUGCUCAGGAGCAUUCCUAACCCUUGUGGAACGCCUCAGAGGUACAGACUUGUCAAUUGGCUCAACAGGAGUUUCCUCCUCAAGUUGAGUGCUAGGGUUUGAAGUUCCUUCACCGCUUGACUCUUGAAUUUCUUCAAGAUCAACUUGCCUCCCACUGUUUCCUUGGCUUAUGAACUCUCUCUCUCUCUCUAUAUAAAGCCCUCCUAGCUACAAAGACCACAUUUUCACUAGGUCUGUAGAAGAGGUAACCAAAGGAUUGCUGUGGGUAGUCGAUGAAAAUACACCUCUCGCUUCGAGGUUUGAGCUUAUCAUGAGUCUCGCGUCUCACGAAAUCCUCGCAACCCCAAAUCUUGAUGUGGUGUAGUUUGGGUACUUUACCAGUCCAGAUCUCAUGAGGAGUUUUGGCAAUUUUCUUUGUAGGGACUAGAUUAAGGAUAUGGGCGGCAGUCUCUAAGGCAUACCCCCAGAAUGAGAUUGGUAGUGAAGCUCAAAUCAUCAUGGAACGAACCAUAUCCAACAAGGUUCGAUUACGCCUCUCAGCCACACCAUUCAACUGCGGUGUCCUGGGAGGUGUCAAUUUUGAGACAAUCCCACAUUCCCUAAGAUAGUUGAGGAACUCUGAACUAAGAUACUCACCACCUCGAUUGGAUCGAAGCAUCUUAAAGUUCCUGCCCAAUUGAUUCUCGACUUCCUGUUUAAAUUCCUUAAACUUUUCGAAAGUCUUUGACUUAUGCUUGAUUAAGUAGACAUGUCCAUAUCUACUAUAAUCAUCAGUAAAAGUCAAAUAAUAACGAUUAGCAUCCCUUGUGGCAUGUUUGAAUGGUCCACACACAUCCGUGUGCACAAGAUCCAACAACCCUUCACCCCUCACAUAAGAACCUGUGAAGGCUGACUUUGUCAUUUUUCCAAGUAAGCAUGAUUCACAACUAUCAUCUGACUUUAGAUCAAAUAACUCCAAGACUCCAUCUUUUUGGAGUUGGCCUAUGAGUUUCUUGCUUAUAUGUCCAAAACAACAAUGCCAUAAUGAUGCUUUGUCCAAGUUAUUAUUAACAGAAUCAAUACACAAAACAUUAUUUCCUAGGUUAUCAACCACAGAUACUGUUUCAUACAUGCCAUCACUAGGUAAUGCUUUAAAAUAAAGAGCAUUAUUAAAGAAAGCAUUAAUCGAACCAACUUCAUUAUCAAAUGAAAAGGUGAAACCUUGUUUAUACAAUGCAUGAAAGGAAAUAAUAUUUCUUGCCAUUUCUGGCGAAUAACAACACUUAUUCAAAUCUAAACUAAACCCACUACUUAGCGAUAAAGUAUAAACUCCAAUCUUGGUGACAGGUAAAGCUUUCCUAUUCCCCAUGAUUAAGUUUAUUCUUCCUUGCUCCACAUUCUCACUUCUUCUUAGUCCCUGCAAAUCAGAACAGAUAUGAAUACCACAACCGGUAUCAAGGACCCAAGAGUUAGAAUGGGGUGAGUUAUUAGAUAAGAUAGUGUAAAUACCUGCAUGGUUGGGUUUAACUUUCCCAUCCUUCACAUCUUGCUGGUAUUUUGGGCAGUUUCGCUUCCAAUGUGAUUUUUCAUGGCAAUAGAAGCAUUCCGCCUCUUUUGGGUCAGAAGAAGGAGUGACGAAACCUUUCUUGGUUCCACUUGAAGAAGAGCCAUCAAGGGUCCGAGCCUUGGUACCCUUAGAAGAGCUCUUUCUCUUCUUCCCUCGACUUUUCCCGAUUGCCAAACCCGGAGCGGAGUUUGGAGUAGGAGUGUUAGCAAUCGACUUCCCCUUAAGACCUGUUUCUGUGGUCUUGAGAAGACCCUGAAGUUUGCUGAGUGUGACCUCUUCCUUAUUCAUGUGAUAUGUCAUGAGAAAUUGAUCAUAGCAUGAUGGUAAGGAGUGAAAAAUAAUAUCUAUUGCAAGCUCCUCAGGGAAGUUCACAUUAAGCUUCAGCAACCGAUCCACAUACCUUUGCAUUUUCUACAUGUGGCUCGUGACGGAUUCCCCGUCCUUCAUCAUGGUUGUUAUCAUGGAGCAGAUGAUUUCAUACCUCUCUUGUCGUGCACUUUGAUGGUAUCUUUCCAUCAGAUCUUGGUGCAUUUCAUAAGGGUAGAAAUCCUCAUAAGACUUUUGGAGUUCCGCUGUCAUCGUGGCCAUCAUGAUGCAUGCCACUUUCGUAGCAUCCCUUUCAUGUGCCUGAAAGUCAGCGAUCUCCUGGGGAGUUGCAGUGGUCUCAUCAAUCUCCUUAAGCUCCUUGUCAAGGACAUAUUCUUUGUCCUCGUAGCGGGUAAUCAUCCUGAUGUUUCUGAUCCACUCAUUGAAGUUGGAUCCAUCAAAAGUGACUUUCCCACACAAGUUCAUAAGGGUAAAGGAGCCAUUAGGAUUAGAGCCAGAAGCAGCAUUGUUUGAAGACAUCUGAAGGAAGAGGACAAGAUUAGUUUAGAUAUUAAGAGAGUCCUUAAUAAAACACCCAAAUGUAAUAUUAAGGCUAGGAUCCAAUCACAAUAUAUUAUAACUUAGAAGAGGUAUGCCGUAAUCCAAGCUAUAACAUAUUUGAAAGGUAGGUGAAUGACGAUUCACCAAUUUCCACCAUGAAAACCAAAAUAUUAAAUAUUAGGUUUUUGAUUGGUUCGUAGAAAUUCCUAGAUUCUUUUGAGAUUCAGUGAACUUUUCAAAGGCAUGUUUCAAUCUCGAGUGUGCCCUCCAAGUUUUGUGACUGGGAUACCGAGGAUCACAAAACGAGGUGUGAAGUAACCAUGCAAAUCACUUGGUACCCUUAAAUUUUAUCACUCAAUCGAUGUGCCGGUAAACCACACACGCUCCACCGAUACUAUGAUAAACCUUAAGUCACCCUUUACCUACCUUGUUAAGUCCAUGUUAGUGUUUUGGUUAAACACACACGCUCCACCAACUACUUAAACAAAGUGUAAAGUGUAAUUUCAUGGAUUAGCACCUUAUUCACAUUUUUCCUAAAGUAACUAAGAUUGGGAAUUUAAUAAAAGCAUUUAGUUACUUUAUAAUAUUCAUCAUACUUUUAAUGAGAAUUUAUAAGUCCUUGUCCUACCCGUUCGGCUAACGACCCUCCACCAGUCAAGCAAGCGGUGGGUGAGAGUGGACACCCAUUAAGUUGCCAUUUUAUAGGCAAGAACCUUAUACUCACCUUAUAGACCGACUUCGUGAACGAGGCAUACUAGCGGUAAGACGACUUUGAUCUUAUACAUAUAUAUUAUUAUUAACUUAAAAUAUUAUAAGUAUAAGGGUUGAAUUUUAACUUUUAAAAUUCUAAGGGUUGGAACUAAAGUUUUGUAAACUUUCAAAACAUUUCAUUUCUUGUAACUUAUGAGUUUAUUAAGGUAUUAAAAAUGAAGACUCUUGAUUUUUAUAACCCAUGUGCUAUUUUAAUGGUUUUAAAACAAAGUGACUUUUGGUUUUCCAUAACUUGAGGACAAGUUAUGGACUCUAUUAAAACACCUAAUGAUCAAGAAUUAAUCUACCACAUAGGUUACAAACAAUUCCUAUGAUCAUCUAAACAUCAUAAGAUCAAGAACAUGAACAUGAACACUUUCAUGAAUCAAAAAUUACACUUAAAACUUUGUAAUUUUGAUAACUAUCAUUGUAAAUGGAUUAGCAAGAACAUUACACCAUCUAAAACAAGUUUUCAAGUACCAAAACAGUUUAGGGUAAUGUUUCUAGUCCAUUUCUAGCAACAAAAGUCGGAAAUCUGCAUUUUGAGGCUCCUACUCGCCGAGUGCACGAACCUACUCGGUGAGUAGGUUGAAGAUACACAUGAACUCGGCGAGUCCCCCCAUGGACUCGGCGAGUUCAUCAGGCAGAUUGCACAAAAUCGACUUUUUUCAACCAUUUAGCACAAAUAACAAACAUACAAGCCUAAGCUCUGAUACCACUGAUGGGUUUUGAGCAUUCUAACACUUCCUAAGUGUACAUGCAACCCUAAUAACCUUGGAUCUAUGUUUGUCUAAUUAUCAUGCAAAGUUGAAUUCCAAGGUUAUAUUCCUAUCUAGCAUACAUGGGGAGCAAUUUUUAACUUGAAUGGAAGAUAGAAAAAUUUACCAUGUUGUUGCUUACGUUCCUUGAAACCUUGUGAGCCUAGCACCCCAAGUGUGAUGCCUCAAAUGCUUCACACAACAACAAAUGCUCUUGGAUAGACUUUUGAGAGAACACACACUUCUUAAAAUAGGUCUAGCCCUCUUGUUUCAUAUGUGUAGCUAAUUUUGGUGGAGAAUGGGACUCUUAUAUAGUGUUGACACAUCUAGGGUUACACCAUGUAAACCCGAAUGUGUCAUGACUCUUCAUUUCCACGACCCAUGGGUUUGAAACUCUCAUGGAGCAUCCAUGGAGCAUCCUAUGGGUGGAACCCAACUUGAUAAUCCAUGGAGCCUCUUAGUCCACUAUACUAGAUAUGAAUGAUUUACAUAAUCAACCCAUAUAUUUAAUUAGUUAUCUUUUGAUCACUUAAUUAAUUCUAAAUUAAUUCUUGAUCAAACUAAUCAAAUAAUAUUAUUAAUAUAUUAGAACUUAUAAUAUAUUAAUAAUCUCCAAGUGUUAUUUCUCUCAUUUAGUCUAUUCAAUUGCAUGGUGCCAUGCAACCCAAAUGGACCAUGCCGGGUUGGGUCAAGUACUUACCAGAAAUAGUUAUGGACUUAGACACCUUAUCCAACAGUUGUAACAUCAAAAGUCAGAAUCAAGAGUUCAGGGGGUAAAGUGUAAGUUUUUGAAAGAGGAACUCGGCGAGUAGGAGCUGCAACUCGUCGAUUCUAAGUGUGUGCCGGGCACAUGUUAAGUGACCGGACUCGCCGAGUCGGAGGCUGGACUCGACGAGUCCAUGCUGGAAUGAGAAAUCCUAAGUCCUAGGGUUUUGCACCCUAUUUAAGGAGCCUUAAGCAGCCAGAUUAGGGCUUAAGCAGCCAGAUUAGGGUUUCCUUGUUGAAAACCCUAAUAGUCUACAUGUAUAUAAAGGGCCCCUAUGCCCAAAAAACGUGGACAAGAGUUCCUUUAGGGUUUCUAGAUGUUUUGCGCAGCCUCUUCUUGUCUUCUCCUCUUCAUCCAAGUUGCUUAGUGGUGUUUGUGACUCCAUUAGAGGUGCAGCACUUGAGGCACUAAGCUUUCUGAAGCCAAUCAAAGCAAGGAAUUGAUUGUUAUUGCUAUAUAACAAUCAAAGAUCAUUCUCUAAACCCUAAUUCAGUUUAUUAUAUGAUAGAUCUAGGGUUUAUAGCUUUGGAUAUUCAAUUGCAUGUUCAUUAGACAAACUAGAUCCAAAAGCUAUUAGGGUUUGCAUGUACACCAUAGGAAUGAUGUUUUGCUUAAAACCACUCAUCGAGGUCAUUGUUCAGAUUAGUACGGAUGAGUUGGAUGCCAGGAUUCGUGAGAUCCUGCAUGAUGAGGUUGUUGCUAUGUUCCGGGCUGAGUUGCUGGAGAUGUUUUGGUCGAUCAAGACCGCCAUGGUUGAGUAUUUUGAUGAGCGCUAUGCAGCUCUUGCAGAGACGGCUGCCGCGGCAGGGGCAGUGGCUGUAGCAGCGGCANNNNNNNNNNNAGAAGCGGCAAGUGGAGGAGCCGGUCGAGGUUUUUAGUAUCGAGACUUCGAUAAUACAAAGCCCCCUACUUUUGAUGGAGUUUAGGACUGGAUCAUUGCUAUGAGGUGGUUGUCGGACAUAGAGGGCUGUUUCUUCACGUGUUCACGCCCUACGGAUCAGAGGGUGAGGUGUGCUCUGAACCUUUUAAGGUUCGGCGCAAAGGAUUGGUGGAGGUUGACUAUGGGAUCGUAUUAUAAUGCGCAACAGGCUGCGGUUACAUGGGAUCAGUUCCGGAAGCUGUUCAGUACUCGUUAUGUUCCACAGGUUGAGAGGGAGAGGUUGGCUCAGGAGUUCAUGGAAGUGGAGCAGGAUUCAGAGUCGGUGAUGGAGAUCACCAGGAUGUUCACUGAUACGGCGAUGUUUUGCCCUGUGUUUGUUUCGGAGCAGAGUCAUAUGCUUCGAUAUCUGAGUAUGCUUGAAAGGGAUAUCAGGCAGUUUGUGUCUACACAGAGGUGCGAGACCUUAUUGGAGUUGCAGGAGGCCGCUCGGCGACGUGAGUUGGAGAUUGAGUUACAGCUGAGAGAGCAGAGGUAGGCCCCAGUGUAGUUGUAGCUGGCGCCGAAAUGGUCCAAGACCGUUGAUUCCAGGUUGGACAGUCAGAGCGGCCAUACUUGUGAGAAGUGCGGGAAGGGUCAUACCGGAGUUUGUAGGUCCGGUGGUGCAUGCCGCGAGUGCGGGAGAGUGGGGCAUUAUGCGAGGGAUUGCCGUCAGUCAGCCCCGGUUCAGGAUAUGAGGAUUUGUUACCAGUACCAUCACGUUGGCCAUAUGAGGGCCAACUGUCCAAAACUAGUUUUCAGGCUAGUGCAGGUUCCAGCACUAGCCACUUUGAGGACUACUGGCGGGGGCCAGGGUGGAGCGGAGCCUCCGAGGGCUCACGGGCAUGCUUUUCAGCCCACAGUAGAGGAGGUCAAGGCAGAGCCAGAUGCGGUUGCGGGUAUGUUUUCAUUUCGUUGCUGUCUGGUUAUCUGGUUAUUUUGUGGUGUUGCAUUUUAUUCGCCGUUCUGCUUGUUUCAUGGGUUCGCUGAAAGUGAUAGUAGUCAAGAGUUGUAAGUGGUUAGCAUCCAAGGGAUUGAUGGUCAGAAACUAGUUGUAUGCUCUUGUUUCCAGAUAUAGCAAUUGGGAUUUGAGAAGUGUUCACCGGGGAGUCGAACUCCUUUAGAGUUCGAGAUGUACGAUUUCGGAGGAGUGAUUUUGUAGAGGUGCUCGUCUUAGGGGGGAUCAGUUCAUGGAUAAGGGGAAUAUGUUGAGUAGGGAUGUUUAAGUGAUGUCGUUUGGGUCACUGGUGGUUGGAAGUCAGUGCUCUAAGUGGGGAGAAUUGGAGAAUUCUCAAGAGGAUCGAUAAGCGUUAGAGUUUGAUUAGCUGUUUGGGAUCCAACGGUGUUUUAGUCAGCCAAGAGUUUGGGGUGGUAUGAGUGAGUGACAAAUCGAUGGGGCGGAGUACAGACCAAGGAUUCAGGAUAAGGUGAUUGGUUGUUGUGAGGCCUAGGAUUAGGCCAGGAUCUUGGUAUAUGGAAUGGAGUUGGAGUUCGAAACCCGUAGAGGGAUAGAACAGUAUGUAUGGGAGAGAUUCCCAGGAGAAAUAGCUCAGGAUGAUGUAUGGAUAGUUUGAGCGGGGGAGACUGAAGGUCGGAAGGUGUAUCAGUAAGGCCGGAAGGCGUACCAGUUAGGCCGAAGGCCUGAUAAGGCGGUCUAGUCAUGUUGAAGACUCUGUAUGCGUUAGUGGAUCUGUAUGCGGAGAAUGGGUGAUUAUGUCGCCAUGCAAUAGCAAACAGAAGGCUUGGCCCCGGGUAUUGAUCAUGUUAGUGAAAGGUGGGGUAUGGACUUCGAUAGUCCUUAUGAUAAGAUUCAGAGUAUAUGUGAUGCUUAAAAUAGCGAUUACUGUACAUGACAUAGUGUAGAGUGGAGUGUGAGUACCGUGGCACUUGUCUGAAGUGGCAAGGUUGGCAAGUAGAUUUCCUUGGAUAAGGAAGAAGGAAAGGUAUGUAACUCCAGGAGGGAGUAUUGGAUGACGGAAAUGAAAGCAGUAGUGAGAAUGGAUGACGGAGAGUAUUUCAAUUAUGGUUGUUGAGCACCGUGAUUGUGCCAGUGGUUUGGAAGCACAUCCGGAUUGGGUGUCUGUUGAGGUCGCGGAUGGAAUUCCGAUGGUAUCGGACCUGAGGAGUCUGGAAGGGAUGCAAGGGUUGGUCCAUGGAAUCUAGGUAGGGGAGUGAUCAUGGGUUAUGUACAUAGUGGUAAUUCAUUCUGGGGAUGUCUGAUAGUAUCGUUAGUGUGUCGGGUUUUUCCAACUCGAGGAUGUAGAGCAGGCUCAGCAUGUGUAUGUGAUGGCAGAGGUGAGCUCAAGGGAGUUACUCAGGAACUGAAGGAUGUGUGAUCCUGUCAGCGGAAAGAAAAGAGUUGGAUUUGGAAAGGAAUUGGGAUAAGUCCCAGAAGUGAAUUCAAUAAAGGAAAUGUCAGUCGAGGAAAGGGAUAGCAGUUGGUACCGGGCUAGGACCUGGUGGUUCAGGAUGAUAUCUAGUUUGUAAGAGACAAGUGGUUAUGUGAUUUAGAACGAUGGAAGUAUCAUCGGGUGAUCAAUGGUGAAUAAGUGUUUUUAUCAGAGAAGGAAGUCGGUGGCCAGCUUGAAGCAGUUUUCGUGACUGUAUGAGAAAGAGUUGGACUUUAUAAGGGUUUGAUGGCAGUGUUUGGAGGAACCUGGGUCGAUUGAUAAAAGGAGGUGCAUUGUGGGAGUAUUAUCUGGAGUUGUGUGUUGCAACAGGCUUUGAGGGCGAAGCCUAAUUUCAGUGGGGGAGAAUUGUAACAUCCCAAAUCAGAAUCAAGAGUUCAGGGGGUAAAGUGUAUGUUUGGAAAAGAGGAACUCAGCGAGUAGGAGCUGCAACUCGUCGAGUCUAAGCGUGUGUCGGGCACAUGUUAAGUGACCGGACUCACCAAGUUGGAGGCUGGACUCGACGAGUCCGUGCUGGAAUGAGAAAACCUAAUUCAUAGGGUUUUGCACCCUAUUUAAGGAGCCUUAUGCCCCCAUUUCGGCCCCUUAUUACUCCCCUGAAAAUCAGCAGCCCUAAAUCAUAAGUGAUAGCCUUGGGAGCAUUUUGGAGUUUAGUAAGUGGAGUUGGGAAGGAAGUCUUAAAGAUUAAGAAGCUUGGAUCAAGGAGGCUGGAGGAUAUUUGGUUUACUCUUCAGUUGGAGGUUGCUUUGAGGUAAGGAUUCGUAAUCUUGGCAUUAUUUCUUCUAGAUCCACCUUUCAUGGAGCUUUAGGGUUUGUUUGGAGGAAUUUAUGAUGAGAUCUUGAUGCAUGAGCUAGAUCUGGAUUUGAAACUCCAUAUUUGAGUUCUAUAUGGAUUCUAUGUGAAGAUAGCCCUUUGUUUAGAUAUGAAAAAGCCAACCCUAAUGAGUUAAGUUAAAUUAUAGCUUGGUUUUUGGUGAAUGGGUGAUGGAAGCACGUAAAGGUAGCAACUUUAUGUUACUAAUGAACCAUAGGGACCCUAAUCUAUUGUUUGGAGCAAAGAAGAAGCUCUGUAAUUUCAGAUUAUGGAAUAACCCGUAUGGGCUCGACGAGUCUAGGGCAGGACUCAGCGAGUCAGGUAGGGUUUGGUCUGAUUAGUCCCGUGUGGACUCAGCGAGUUGGAAGAACAAAUCGGCGAGUCUGUUGAAGAUUGCCUUGGACUCGGUGAGUCUGGUCAUGGAACCAUAACCUUUUUAGUUAAACCGCGAAUCGGUGAGUCGAGGGACGACUCGGUGAGUUGAGCAGGAUGGGACUCAGGAUUGUUGAACUCGACGAGUCUUGUGGCGACUCGGCGAGUUGAGUUGUGAUAUGGGGUUUCGAGUAUGGGAACUCGACCAGUCAACGGUUGGACUCGGCGAGUAGGGUCAACCAGGAAGGUUGACUUUGACUGAGGACUUGUACUUUGACCAAGGGUUGACCAGUUUGACUUCCAAGGGUAUUUUGGUAAUUUAAUGUUUAUUAGUUUGGUUAUUUGGUAAUGAUCAGUGGUGGAGUUCGUGCUGGUGGUCGGAGCAGCGUGGUCUUAAUCCUUCCAGUCGGCAGUUGCAGGUGAGUUAUCAUCACUAUACUAAUAGGGUCUACGGCACCGAGGCCGACCCUCUAUCGGAUGGAAAUCCGGGUAAUUUUGUUAUGUUAUUUCUUUUCUUUGUUUGCAUCCUUGUAGUUAGGAUGUGUACGUUAGGGACCUGGAUAUGGUCGGUAUCCUAAUAGUUAGGAUGGUAAAUGUGUGACCGGAAGGCCUUAUGUGCUAUGAAGAGUAUGAGAUAUAUGAUGUUAGAUGUUAUGAGAACUGUAUGCAUUAUGUUACGAUAUGAGCAAUACGUUAUGGACCUGAGGGUCAUCAUGUUAUAUGUGGUUAUAUGAUAUGUAUGUGCCAUGUAUGGUAUGUAUGAUAAGGACCGGAAGGUUAAAAAGAUAUUUAUGUAUGUGUUAUGUAUGCUAUGUAUGGUAAGGACCGGAAGGUCAAGAUGAUAUGGACCAGAAGGUCAACAAAGUAUGGACUGGAAGGUCAACAGAGUUAUGGGAUGGAAAUCCCCUGAGACAUAUGGAUCGGAAGAUCCUAUGGAGUUAUGGCCUAGAAGGUUAUAUGUGCUGUUACGGCCUGGACGGGCGUAUGUGCUGUUUGUAGUAUUUUGGGGGUAACUCACUAAGCUUUCGGGCUUACAGUUUCAGUGUAUUGUUUCAGGUAUUUCAGGAGAUCAUGGCAAGCCGAAGGCAUGAUCGUACCGCUCCUCAGUUUUAUGUUGAUGUUUCUGGGAUACUCUGAUAAUAAAAGAAUUGAAAACCCUUUUCUAAUAACUUAAUGAACAUAGUUGUUUUUGAAAAGUUUAAAUUGGUUGUAAAUUUUAUGGCCAUUACACUUGGAUAGGGAAGGGAUAGCAUAGAAGAUACAAUUUCAUCGCUUGCAUAGAAAUUAUGGAAUGCAUCAUUUUGUGCAAAUAUAUGGAGAUGCUUUUAUGUCUUAAUUCAUAUGGUUUGGUGAAAUGUGACAUUUGUUUGUGGGAUGCCUGUUUGGUUGAGUUUGUUAAGAUGUUUCACAUUAGAUUAUAGUAGUUAGUUGAUGGUUGUUUGAUUAAUACAAUUAGUGAUGCAUAUAUAUANUGGAUUUGGGAAUCAGGCUGUGCACUUUGGUAUACAAUUAAGUAGUCAUUUGAUGUUGUUAAUUUGUUUAAGUUUGAUAAUUAAUUAACUUUGAUCAUUAGAUUUGAUCAUUUACACCAAUAUGUAAAACCUUUUAUGUAUGUUGUGUAAAUUUGUACAUAAUUAAAGUUUUGAAAUGUCUAAGGUUUGAAAUACAUAUGUGUUGAUUAAUGGUUAAAUAUAGUCAAUGUAGGAGUAAUUAAGUGAAAAAGUUAUUUUGUUUAUAUUUGUUUUGAUGAUGGUAAGGGUAUUUUAGUACUUUUGUUUAUAAACAAAUUCAUAUAUAUGUUUUUUUUAUAAUAUUUAAAUAGUUUAGUUAUUACUAAACUAAUUAUCUGUACAAACAUAAGCAAAGAUAGAAAUGCAAUUUAUAGAGUUACAAUUUAGACAAUAUAUACAUAUGUUUUAUUAAUGUUUCAAAUUUUUUGAAAACAUAAUAAAUAUACAUAGUCAAUAAUAAUAACCUACUUAUCGUUCUGACAGUCUCAAAAUGUAUAUUUUUUCUUGCUUGUAAACCCACCUAGAAAUAAAGCAUGUAUUAUGUCUUGUCACGUGCUCUUCUCUUCAUGACAACAUUUUCAUUUUCCUCACACAAGUAAAUCUAAAUAGUUGCGUAAAUUCAAUGAACCGUAAUAUUAUGUAAAUGUAACCAUAUAAAACAAGUCUAAGAUCUUUAGUAUGAAUAAGGAAGGCAUUUCUUAUGUAGUACAAUACCCCGAUAGUCGGGAUGAAAAUAACCAUUUUAGGACUCCUUAAGAAAAUCUUAGGGGCCUACACGUCGCAAUAUAUAAUCAGUUUAAGGAAAAUCAUCAGUACUAAAUUCCUCAUCCGCAUCCUCAUAUGAAUCUCAAUAAUUUUUUUGAGGUGUCUUGAACACACUAGAUAUUUUUUUGUCAAAUAUGAAGGGAUCUAUCACAACCGUCAAAACUCAGGUUAGGACUCAUCUAGAACCUUAUCAUUUCAAUGUGUGCACAUAACUUGCCUUUAGAUGCAACAAGUUGAGCUAUAUCGCGACUUAAUAGAUCCCUCCGAACAAAUAGUGUAUCUUCGCUUGUACUAAGCAGUCACAUUGAUAUUUGAAUACUCUAACUAGGUUGUAAAGCGCCAAAGUACAAUAUAAAAACUAACACAAAAACCAUGUUCAGAAAAUCAAGGCUCAUGGGUAUGAAGAAUACCCUAAUUUUUUAAUCGGAACAUACGACGUGCUUAACUAGUUUGAUAACUUAUCAAACUCAAUUUAAUUAUAUCAUAAAUUCAUUUAAUUACAAGUUGGAAAUAAUAUCUACAUAUCAUAAUUUUAAUUAUGAGCAAAAAAUUUAAUCCAAUGAUUGUCUAAUCCUACAUUCAUAUGUGAACCUUUGUGUCGUUUAUAUGAAAUAUAAAAUUUGAUUUUAUAAAAAUCUAACUAUAUGCUAUCAUUUCUAUAAAUUAAUUUAAGAGAAUACAUGUUUAUGAACUUAUUUUUAAAAACAAAAUAAUUGAAUAAAAACAAGAAAUAAACUCUUCAAGUUUAUAAAAAUAUAUAGAAUAUUUUUAAAAACUACAGAUGAUUUUUAUAAAAAUCGUUAAGGGGAAAUGUUGAGAGAAAGACUUUGAGACACACUUAAAUAAACGUUAGAACAAGUAUAUAGCGGAAUAGUUAAUCUCGAAGGAUCAAAAGCUCAACAAUAAUAUUAAGAGUUAGAAGUUAGAGAGUUAGUUGUGGAAAAGUAAAGAAAUGUAAAUGACGACAAUUGUUAUAUCAAGUAUACACAUAAGCAGAUUCAUAACGAGGAAUGCAUUCAUACCAACUUAAUAAGUGAGAUCAAACAUAGUGAUUAAGUCACAAGAGACUUGCUCCGAAGAUAUAUGAUGAUUGAUUAUGUGAGUAAGAAGAUUGGAUAAUUAAGAUAGAAAGAGAACUUUGAGAUGUGUAUUAGAAAGAGAUGAGAUGUUCACUGUAUUUCACUGUGUUCUUAAUACAUGAGAAUGAGCUCUAUCUAUAGAGACUCAAAAGAUAAAAGAUUUAAAACUCUAAGAGUAGCCAUGCAAGGCAUACUGGACAAUAGAGUGUUUUACAAUAAAGAGAAAAUAAUCUAAGUAUAGAUAGAGACUGCGGUGCUUGAAGACUUCGGAUGAUGACUGACGAAGAGACUGCUUGACUGCAGUGGCUUGGAGGCUGCGGUAGCUGAAGUUCAAGAGGGUCACUUACUUUUGCUUCAACAAUUUCCCCUAAGUGACCUCUUUAACUUUGAUCAGCUAUCAAGUUUAAGGGACUUGAUCAAGAUCCAGCAAAAUUUCCUGAUGUUCUCCAACCAGUUAAUUCUUCUAAGUAUUUCAAACUUGACCUCUGCGGUGGCACGCUUGGAUUUUUCAACUGCAUUUCAACAGAUGUCAAGUUGUUUUCUGGUGAGACAAUGCAUGGCAUUCAUUGAGAUGAAAUAUUUGACAUUGUCUAUAUUUCUCUUGAAAAUGACUCCUAGUUCAGGAUAGUUGGUUGUAGCCAAAGAUCUUUCUUUAAAGCCUUCGGUAGGCAUCGAUGCAUGGUCAAGCGAUGGCAGAUCGACAAUCUUGGAGAUGGUGGGGUGAAUGUCUGCAUCGAUCUUGGCGAAGUCACAGACUGUUUCCUUAAGAAAGGUACUGGCCCUUUCAAGUGCAAACUUCAUCUUUGGAUGCUUCUCAGACUUUUGCUGAAACACCUUGGCGAUGAGAAAAACUUCAUUAGGGUUCAUGCAUGGAAAAUUAGCCUGGGUGUGGAUGUAGUCGUGUUCCCUCCUAGUUAAGGUGUAUUGGAUGAACUCAGCCUUCAUGAACUUCCGGAUCUUGUAAUUCUUGACUGCGGAUGGUCUAUCGUUAGACCAUAUACGUUCGACGGGAGAGGCAUCCUUAGCAUAGAAUUUGCUAAGUCUCUCAAAUUCCAUCAGAAGUCUUUUCUCAUCAGGAAGGCAGUGGUCGAACUGCUCAAAUACAGUGAAGUAUCUGGCAUUUGGUGACGUAGUCAUCAUCAAGUAGUCUUCUAUGGGGAUUGACCCAAGAGUUUAUUAGGGACUCAUCCAUGACCGUGUCGAAUCCGCCAAGUCUCCAUACUUCUUCAUCAACCUUGGCUUCUCUCCAAUUACUUUUUCUUUGAGCAGUGGCCGGAGAGUCGUUUGAGCUUGGAGAAGACAUAUACUCUUCCAGAUUCUUGAAGUGCGGGGGAGUCUCUGGUUUUUUAGGGGUAUUUUCAACAUGAAGAGGGGAGUUGUGAGGUGGAGUGUGAUGAGAUGGUUGCGGUGAGGGUUGUUUUUUAGGUUGCGGUGAGGGUUGUGGUGUGAGAAUUUUUUCAGUAGAGACUGGUGUAGUUUGAUGGUGUGAGAGGGAUUGGUUGGAAUGAUGGACUUCUUCACUUCCCCCUCUUGAGGAGUUCAGACCCGAAGCCUCCUCGAGCCAUUGGCGAAGGCCAUCUACCUUGUCAAACACCAUUUGAAAUUGUGCUUUGAGGGCUUCUGCUAAAUGUUGAUUAUUGGGAAUGGAGGGAUUGAAGAGUAGUUUAUGGAUCUCCUUGGUGUGUUGAAGAAUUUUCGGACCAUGGAAGUUGGCAGAUAGUGAUCGUUGCAUUCUGCUGAUCGUUCUUUGGAGAACGGAGAUUGCAGACUCAUAAGAAGUAUGAGUUUCAACAAUCAACUUCUCUGAGUGUGAAGCUUGAUCUGCAAUGGCUGCUUGAAGAUCGGUUUUGAUUGUGGUAACCUCAGAGAUGAGGCGUUCUGCAGCAAUCAUAAAUUCCUUAUUAUCAGCUUGACGAUUAUUUUCAAGUGAUCUGAUCCCCAUUUCAACUUUCAGAGAGAUACGCUCAGCAGCCAUUCUCUCUCUGGUUUCCAUUCUUUCUAUUCUUUCCAUCAAGGACUGCGGUCCAGGAAGGUCUUAUGGUUGCGGUUGAUUUGGCUUGACUGCAGCUAAGAUUUGAUUAACCUUAGCCUGAAGACUGAGAAAUUCCUUCCUUGUCACUGCUUGCUUCUUCUUCUUCUUCUUUGGCUUAGUAGUGGAGUGAUGAGAACCACUGGAUUCUUCAUCUUCAUCAAACAUCAUCAGAUCAUCAUCAUUAGGAUAGGGCUUGUUUACCUCUUGUGGUUCAUCAUCAUCGAAGCCAAAAAUGGGAGCAGAGCUCACUUCGAUUUCAGGUUCGUCAUCUUGUGAACCUGCAGAAGUGGGAGAGGGGGGAGGUGGAGCUUGAGAAACAAGUUAAGCAGCAACAGCUUCCUUGGCUUUCUGAACUAUUUCGGCCAUUGUGGUCAUCCAGUCUUGAACCUUGAGGAUGGUGGCUACGGUAUUGGCAUUGUUGAUGGAAUCUUCCCAAUACUUGGCCACAACUUGAAUCUCUUAUUCCUUGAGCUGUUUUUGCUUGACUUGCUGAUCCUUGCGAGCUUGAAAUGCCCUACGAAAAGCGGCAUAUUUCUUGGCUUCAGCCUUGUUGGAGGGUUGAUAACUGCUCCAAGAAUCAUUUAAAUCUUCACCGUCAAUUCCUGUAAAUCACACCAAGGUGUCCCUUGGGUUCGCAGAUCCUUGCACAUUUGUGCUUAUCGUGCCUAAACCACCUGUUUGUAAUGAAAGAAAAGUAGGAUUUCCUAAGCUUCCCUGAUAUCCUUCACCCGUAGUCAAGUUUGGCCUAGGCUCAGCUCCGGCAUGGGUGGAAGAAGUGCCAUGCGGAUGGGAAUAUGUUUGUAGUGUCUGGCUAACUUUCAACAGGAUGGAGUUCAACUCCUCAGGUGAAAAAAUAUGCAGUUGGGAAGCCCUGGAGACUUUAGGGCGAGUACUAGUAUCAUCCCUUUAGGAAUCUACNNNNNNNNNNNNNNNNNNNNNNNNNNNNNNNNNNNNGACUCAUUUUCUGAGUCUGAAAUGAAAAAGAUAGUGGUGUUGAAUGGAUGUGCAGGCAUCCCAAGAACUACCAGAGCCUGUGGAGAGGUUGAGGUAUCAGUCCGAUCAUGCAUUUGGCUAGUGGGAUCAGGUUUUCAUUUCUUGAGGAUAGAGAUGGGUUGGUUAUCCUCUUCAGAGUCAUUGUUGGAGUCAUGAUGACUUGGUUCAACAGUUUUGACUACUGGUGGAGUUUUUCUUUUCUUUGAGGGUUUGGAGGCUUUCGGAGCAUCCUUUUUAGGAAUUCCAGAUUUCUUUGAAUGGCGGGGGCUAUGAAGGGUAGGAACCUUGGUUUUUCGUCUUUGAGAGUGAGAGAUGUUUGAGAGAGUUGUAGAAGAAGGGACUGCGGUACCUUUAGGGUUUAAGGCUGCGGAUGGAAGAGGCGGGGUAGGAAGGUAUCGGUCAACCCCUUCCGUAGCCUCUAUGUGAUCUGAGACAUCAGCAGUAUCGAGACCAAGGGUAGAAAGAAUGUGUGUAGGGAGUCUGCGGAUUGGACCAAAAAUAGUUUCAUCAGAGGAAGGGUUGUACCUUUUUAGAUCUUUGGUGACAAAGAAGUUAAUGUCAUCACCCAUGUCGAUAUCUGUAUCCGUAUGCAAAUAAGAUAUACAGAGAGACCAAAAUCUGGCAAAAGUAAGCUCGAAUGGAUUUUUCCUUGGGCUCCCUUUGGGAAUGUAUUUCAGAAAGUCAACCCAAAGAAUCUAACCGUAGUUCACAUCGUGGCUUGUGUAGAUACUCCAAACUAGUUCCAAAAGCUUUAGGCCCAUGUUAUCUGUGCCUCCGGUUCUGCCGGACAGACUACAGAUGAUAAAAUGACAGACAAACUGCUAGACCGGAGACAGUUGAUUCUUCUUGAACUCACUAAUUCCUUUGAUCGGCUUCUGAUAGCCCAUCUGAUACAGUGCAGAGGUGAUGUCCGCCAUUGAUGGUGUGAAAAACUUGAUCGAGGGAUGAAUCAGAAGGUUAAUGGCUGAAAGAAACUUUUCUUUGGAUAGAAUGACCAAAGAAUCAUUAAUGAGGUUUAGGUGAACUUCUUGAGGGUUAUCAAUUGGGCGGUAGGCAGAGAAAGCACAUUUGUAAAGAGAGGAGAGUGGAACAAUGUUUGUGAAUGCAUCGAAUGGUCCAAAUAAAGGACGAUUCUUCAAGAACUUGAUCAUCAAUUUUUUUGGAGCAUUGUAUGUGGGUUGAUCGUCGAAAACAGCUCUGAAAUUGCUCGAGGCAAUUGUGGGAGAAUCUGAACCAGUUGGGUUCACUGAUCUAGAGGCUUUUGUUUGUUUCUUGGUAGCGCCAAAUUUCACCAUUGUUGAGUUGGUAAGAGCUUAAAGAAUGCAAUGAAGGAUUAAGGGUUUUGAGAGCGUAAAAGUUUCUUUGUGGAGAAGAAAAGGGUUUUAUAGCGGUUUAUUGGAGCGGGAAACAUUUAUGUUUUUGACCUAAGUGAAAUUGGGUAAAAAAAACAUUUGGGUUUAACUUUGGGUGAGCAUCUUUAAUCUUAACCACAGAUUGACAAAAAAGGGAUAAAGUUUGCAAUUGGGAUUAACCAGAAAAGGACUUUACAUUUAAUGUAAUGUCAGAUGUUGAAUCACGUCUUGAGAACAUGUGGAGGGGGUGAGAAAAAUCCGUUGGAUAAAGUAGAAGUUGUAACGGAUGUGAUGGUUUGGGGUAAGAAGAAAAGACAUUUUAGAGGAUUUGAUUUGGAAAAUCUUUUAUUUUGUCAUCAUACCUAAAAUAGGUAUGACACAAGGUUUUUGGAAGAAAAGAAUGUGACAGUUUCUCAAAGGAAUGUUUUUAUUUAAUAUUUUAUUUAAUGAAGAAUCAUUAAAUAGCACACUAUUUUUCGUUUUUUUAAAUGAACCGUCUGUAAAACAAUUAAUGUGAGUGUGGAUGAACACAUCAUUGCGGAUGGCUUCUUUGUCAUUGCGGAUGACUGCAGUGGAAGAAACUGAGAAGAGCACUUGUACAAAAGUUAAUAACAAUAAGCAAUAAAGACCCAUGAAAGAUAGAUAUAACAAAUGGUUGCGGUACAUUGACCGCGGUACACAAGAUGUACCAAAACCAUCUGUUAUAAGUGUCUUUCAUCUAGAACCACAAUGGAACUAAGAGGGUCUGUGGUACCUAUCAAUUCAAGAAGAAUUGGGGGUCCGGCUUCAUCAUCCCUAACAUUUGUAAGAACACAUUGAGUUUAGUAGAGUCAAGUGCUUUAGUAAAAACAUCAACAAUCUCUUCAUGAGUAGGGACAAAGAUGAUACGUAAACCUGUAACAGUGCCAUGGGCUUCCCCACAUGGUCUUUACCUAGGACUGCCAUGGGGUCCCCCACAUGGUCUUACAUCCAAUGCCAUGGGCUACCCUACAUGGUCUUAACCUAGGACUGCCAUGGGCUACCCCACAUGGUCUUACAUCCAAUUCCACGGGCUCCCCCGGGUUCUUCAUACAACAUGCAAUCACAUACCAUAGCAAAACAUAGAACGUCUAACAAAUUUAUCAUAAUCACAUAAUGGGUUGGCCUUGGUGCCUUAGACCCAUAGGUAUUGUGAGGAGACUCACCUGACACAAAUGCUGAACUGACACUUUCCGACCAAAAUACCCCACGAGCUGCUCCAACUCAACUGCCUAUAAGCGACAUUCAAUAACCAGACAUUACCCCCAAGGUCCGCCCUAACUCGUCGAGUACAACUAGUGACUCAUCGAGUUUCCCGGUAUAUAGUCUACUCGUCGAGUUUACGAAAAACUUCAUCCGGCUCGCCGAGUUGUUCAUCCAACUCGUCGAGUCUAUGACGAAAUUCAUCGGACCCGCCGAGUUGUUCAUCUAACUUGUCAAGUUCAUGAUAAUCUUCAUAUGAAUCGCCGAGUCACCUCUUGCAACUCGCCGAGUCCUUACAGAUCUGAGGUCAUACAGACUCAUUUGAGCCAUGCAAAGCAUCCACAUUACAGAUCUAGGAUUUUAAGGCAUGGCUUUCACAAAAAGUUGCAAUCUUUACGUGCAUGCAAGGCUUUUAAGCUCGAAAAUAGCAAUUCUAAGCACGGAAUGGAGUCACACGCUUGAGGGGAGUCUCAUGCUAGGCACAACUGAUAACUUUAUGCAUCUAACAUCCGAAGGGAGUCCAGAUCUGAAGUUACAACUUUAGAUCUUGGCUUAAGCACAAAAGCCCUUUCUUAGAAUCCAUGCAGAAGGGGCUUUUAGGUGGAAAUGAGCCAAGGAAUAGCCUAAUACCUUCAGGGAGUGCUUCACAAGAGUGGAUCUUGAAUCCCCCACGAUUUCUUUGCUUCCUCUAGCUUGCUUUCUCAAGUGUUCCCUUCACCAAGUCCUUCCUUCAAGCUUAAACUCACCAAAGAUCACACACACACAUGAAUCAGAGUUUGGAAGAUGAGGAGCUAUAAAGGGAAAGCCGGGGGAGGCUAAUUACCGCUUUAAAUAGGGCACAUGGCCCUGUAUUUAGCGUUUAAUACGCCAGCAUCUACUCGUCGAGUUCCACCCUGGACUCAGCGAGUAGGUGAUUAAACUAAUCGCACUAACCCACUACUACUCGACGAGUAGGGAAGCCAACUCAUCGAGUAGGUACUUCAAAAUUCAAACAAAGGCAAUAUUAUUAUUAGCACCUGAGGAUCAGGGUGCUACAACCAAAGCUUGGAAUCAUGCAAGUUGUAUAGUAUGAUGCAUGAUAACUUUCAAGAAUUGGAAAAAUUAAUACUAACUACUUGUUCACAUGGAUGUGAAUAAGGGAUCGAGUACACAUUCUUGUGUACUGGAUGAAUCUGAUGGGUUUUGGAGAUAAGAACUUUACCUAUGUGCACAUACAACCCUAUAGCUUGGAUCUAGGUUUCACUAAUUGAACAUGCAAUAAUUCUAAGACUUUCAUGGCUAGAUGUAAGAACAAAACAUAUGAAAAAGGAUCUAGAAUAAUACCUUGAGUUACUUGCUUGAAACCUUCUUCUUCUUGGAGCUAAGAGUCACAAAUGUCACUCCUCUAAUGGCUUACAAACACCAACUAGCAAGAAGAUGAUUUAAGAGAGAUGAGGAAGAGGGAAAUCGGCUCAAGAGUUUCUCCAAUCACAAUGAUAGUCGAUUUCCUCAACCCUAUGGGUCUAUUUAUACUGUGAGCUCCUAGGGUUUCACCCUUAAACCCUAAUUGGAUAACUUAGCCUCAAAGAAUCCAAAUCCCUUCCUGAAUAAGGCCUUGGAUGAUUUCUAGGUGAUCCAUAUCCCUAAAAUCGUCCAACCCUAUAUCCAUAAGAAUUAUCAGCUAAAAAUACAACUUUCAUGCAUUUGACAGUUUAUACCCCUUUAUUCAAUUAAUCUCUUUAAGUCACCAAAUUAAUUCCUGAUUAAUUUAUGACUUAUAUUAAUAAAUUAAUAAUAUUAUUCUUUUAAUAUAUUAUUCUUAUAAUAUCUCUUCUCUCUAAAUCACCCUGUCAAGUUGCUAUGGUGAAGGCAACCCAAAAGGACUAUGCACAAUCGAGUCAAGUACUUACCAAAUAUAGUUACAGCCUUAGACACUAAUCCAACAGUCUCCCAGUUGGAUAAGUCUAGUAACUAUAAACGCAAACACAAUCCGAUUAGCAAUCGUAGCUCUCGAAGAUGUUGUCAGCUCUAAUAUUAUCAGUAACCUGUCCUUUAGAUAAGGGAUCGUACAACCCACUAUUUUGAUAUCGGGCAGACGAUUUCAUGAGACAUAGUCAUUCUCGUCGUCCAACAACUUUUUCUUGAUCUCAGAUUUAUUUGACGUAGAACUUAAUUGAACACAUCAAUUCAGUCCUCACCGGGACUGACACAUUAGUCAAAUCAAACCAUCAAGCGGCCGUGAUAUCGCUUUUACCUUCUUAGAUAAAAGUAACAGAUAAACUUCGACUUAUAUGCAUUUACUUAUCAACUAACCAACUAUACACAACAAUGUGUUUUAUGACAUCAAUUUACUGAUGCGGUUUCGCAUUAUCAAUGUACAACCAAUUAGUAAAUAAUAAACCAUAUAUCUAGGUUUUAAGACCAUAUGAUAUUAUCGUCUUGCGAUCAAUUCAAAGUGAUUCCAACAAGCGUGGGUUUAUUCCAAUGCUCAAAACUUGUUCAUAAGCACUCAUGAAUGCUGCAGCAACUCUUUGCUAUGUCUAAUACCAUUUAGACAUUCUACAAACCAAUUCAUGACAAUCUUCAUUCAUACCUACUUCCAACAUAUGAACGAUUGUGGACUGUUUGAAUAAGUUGAUUAUUCUUAAUAAACAUAAUUAUUCUGGAAGUCAAAACAUGCGAAGUGAAACAAUAGCUAAACAAAUUAACAUAAGACAGUGACAAUACUUAUAAAUAACACUCCUUUAUUUAAUCAUCAAAUGUCAAUUACAUUUAUCUAUUACAUGUUUCUAAUACUAUCUAAUCUAAACUAAUAUCAUCCCUCAGCCCAAUACUCCUAGCAUGCUGCAAGUGCUUGACCCUGCUCAAUCACUUCGUAAACGGAUCUGCUGGGUUAUCUUCUGCUGAUGUCCUCUUAACCACGAGGUGUCCUUCUUCUACUCGAUGCCUAAUAAAGUGAUUUUAUUGUCGAUAUGCCAAGAUCUACCAUGAUCCCUCGGUUCCUUGGUCAAGGCAACCGCUUCUUCAUUAUCACAGAAAAUCUCCAUGGGCUCCCUAAUGGCUGGCACAACUCCAAGAUCGCCAAUUAAGUUCUUCAACCAUAUUGCCUCCUUUGACGCUUCGCUCGCUGCAAUAUACUCUGAUUCGCACGUUGAAUCAACUACAGUUUCCUGUUUUGAACUUUUCCAUGUUACCGCUCCUCCAUUAAGGGUAAAGACCCAUCUCGAUUGCGAACGGUAGUUGUCCAUGUUGGUCUGGAAACUGGCGUCACUAUACCCUCGCACCUUUAAGUCGUCACUCCCUCCGAGGACUAGAAACCAUUCCUUGGUCCUCCGAAGGGACUUAAGAAUGUUCUUGACCGCAAUCCAAUGCGCUCUACCAUGAUUCCCUUGAUAUUUACUGACCAUGCUCAAAGUGAAGGCCACAUCAGGUCGAGUACAAGUCAUAGCAUACAUGAUCGAGCCAACUACGGAAGCGUAAGGUAGUCGGUUCAUCUCAACUAUCUCAGCUUCGGUACUCGGAUUUUGAGUCUUACUCAAUUUGGUAUUACUCUGUAUCGGUAGUUCUCCCUUCUUCAAGUUUUCCAUACUAAAACGUUUUAGUACCUUAUCUAAGUAAGUAUUCUGACUAUGUCCUAUUAGUCUCUUACUUCUUUCUCUCACUAUCCUUAUUCCCAAAAUAUAGGAAGCCUCUCCGAGGUCCUUCAUAGCGAAGCACUUCCUGAGCCAGGACUUCACCUCCUGCAGAGUCGGGACGUCCUUUCCUAGGAGCAGUACGUCAUCGACAUACAAAACGAGAAAGCUAACUAUGCUCCCAUUGGCUUUGACAUAUACACAUGAUUCAUCUUUGCUUCGUAGAAAUCCAAACUCUUUGACUUUCUCAUCAAGGCAAAGAUUCCAUCUGCGAGACGCUUGCUUAAAUCCAUAGAUGGACUUCUCAAGCUUGCAAACUCUAUUCGGAUGCUUCGGAUCGACAAAACCCUCUAGCUGAGCCAUAUAAACAUCCUCAGCCAACUUCCCAUUAAGGAAAGCAGUAUUGACAUCCAUUUUCCAUAUUUCAUAAUCAUGAAUUGUGGCAAUACCUAGCAUCACUCUAAUAGACUUUAUCUUCGCAACUGGUGAGAAGUUCUCAUCAUAGUCAACUCCGGGAGUUUGAGUAAAGCCCUUCGCAACCAAUCGCGCCUUGUACAUGUGCACAUUCCAAUUCAUGUCGGUCUUCUUCUUGAAGAUCCAUUUGCACCCAACCGUCUUACGUCCGGGCACAUUGUCAACCAAAUUCCAAACUUGGUUGUCAUACAUGGACUAAAUCUCGCUGUCCAUUGCCUCUUUCCAUUUUUCAUACUACAGGCCUGCCAUGGCUUCCUUAUAGCUAUUAGGUUCAUCUAGAUUUAUUAGUGUACCAUCACUUAUAUACGUGUCCCCUUCAGUAGUAAUAUGAAAACUAUAAAACUGGGGUUGAACUCUAACUCUUUCGGAACGUCUAAGAGGUAAUGACUCGUCAAUGGGUUUAACCGGAGUUUCCUCCUCGGGUUGAGCGUCAGCGGUGGAGGUUCCUUCAUCAUUCGACUCUUGAAUCUCUUCAAGAUCGAUUUGCCUCCCACUGUCUCCUUGGUUUAUGAGUUCUCUCUCUCGAAAAACCCCUCUCCUCGCAACGAAGACCACAUUGUCAAUCGGUCUAUAGAAGAGAUAUCCAAAGGAUUUCUGUGGGUAGCCGAUGAAAAUACAUCGAUCACUAUGAGCUUCGAGCUUGUCAUGAGUUUCUCGUCUUACGAACACUUCACAAGCCCAAACCUUGAUAUGUGCCAACGAGGGAGCUUUCCCUGUCCACAUCUCGUGAGGUGUUUUGGCAACCUUCUUAGUAGGGACUCGGUUAAGGAUAUGGCCGGCAGUCUCUAAGUAAUACCCCCAAAAUGAGAUAGGUAGUGAAGCACUACUCAUCAUAGAACGAACCAUGUCCAACAAGGUUCGAUUGCGCCUUUCCGCCACACCAUUUAACUGCGGUGUCCUAGGUGGCGUCAAUUGUGAAACUAUUCCACAUUCCAUGAGAUAGUCGUGGAAUUCAAGACUUAGGUACUCUCCUCGUUGAUCGGAUCAAAGCAUCUUGAUUUUUCCUGCACAAUUGAUUCUCUGCUUCAUUCUUGAACUCUUUUAACUUUUCAAAUGUUCCAGACUUGUGCUUGAUUAAGUAAAUAUACCCAUAUCUACUAUAAUCAUCAGUGAAAGUCACGUAGAAGCGGUUUCCAUCCUUUGUGGUGGAUCUAAAGGGCCCGCAUACAUCGGUAUGUAUGAGAUCUAAUAAACCCUCACCCCUCUCACAAGUGCCAGUGAAGGGUGACUUGGUGAUCUUUCCAAGUAAACAAGAUUCGCACGUGUCAUCUUCCCUAAGGUCGAAUGACUCCAACACUCCAUCCUUUUGGAGUUGGGCUAUGCGCUUCUUGUUGACAUGUCCAACACAACAAUGCCAUAAAGAUGCCUUAUACAUACUGCUGGAAAAAUCUAUACACAACACAUCAUUUCCUAGGUUAUCUACAACCAUAAGAGUCUCAUAAAUUCCAUUACAAGGCAUUGCUUCAAAGUAUAAAACACCAUUUAGAUAAGCAUAAAUAGAACCAUUGUGACAACCCAAAAUUUCCAUUCUGAACAAACCAUAUCAAGCCAAUAGAAGUAGAACAGUUACAGUGAAAACUCAGAUUUCGAGUAUAAGUUUGGCAGUUUUCAGGAUUUUACACUUCAGGAGAUAUUAGGAGAGUCAAUGCACUAGGGUUCUGUGCAACACUGUUAUUCCAAUACUCUAGUAUAUUAGAGUUCAUUCUGAGUAUAGAAAUAUUUUCUGCCACAAAUCUCAGGAUUAUAAAUAGAAUUAUGAACCAAAUUGGUUCAUUAGUUGAAUUCCAAUUAGAGAAAAGCCAAAUUCUCUCUCACGGAUCUUCGGGUUUUUAUCCCAAAUUGUGAGUAACUCUUUCUAGUAGUGUUAGAAAGCUUUCAAUGUGUUCAUAACAUAGAUUACAUAGCUAAAUCAUCCGAUUUAGGAGUUUACUCCCCAAGGUGUUCUUGGGUGGUAAACUCCCGAAACCAAGCCUAGAUUGUCCCCCGUGAUGUACUACUGCCUUGGACUUGUAUAGGAGUGUAUUAGGGACAUGAAAUCAACCAAGAAUCACCCAAGUUUGGUAGUUCACGGCCCAAGAAUAUCUUAGGCCGUAAACUCCAAGAAUAGUGCUCAAAAUGGUGCUUUUAAGGCACCCAAGGCUUAGACUUUAUUUUAGACAUGUACCCUAAAGUGUUUAAAGCCUAGAAAACAUAAGAAAUCACUAUUAUUGAGGAGUUUACGGCCAAGACAAGUUCUUGGGCUGUAAACACCUAUAAAGGGGUCAAAUGACACCCUAACUCCUUCCUUAAGCCAAGAGACCAAUUUGGGCAUGUACAUAAAUGAGUUUUGGACUAGAUAACACGCUUAGAACACCAAGAGUGAGGGAGUUUACGGCCCUAAAGGUUCUAGGGCCAUGAACUCCAUAAAAUGGUGCCAAAUGGUGCCAUAAACUCUUCUAAAGCCAAGUACAAAAGCCUAGUUUAGUUCCUAGUUAAUUUAGAGACUUGAAAACACCAUAACCACCCUCCCAAGGGAGUUUACGGCCGUAAACUCCAAGGGUAUAUGGUCCCUGGGCCGUAAACUCCUUAAAGGAGUUAAUAUGACACCCAAACACUUGAUUUAGCCUUGAAACAAUUCACCACAUGAGUUGUAUAAUUGUUUAACUUCAUUUAGGUGCUUUGUUGAGAGUUUACGGCCAGGAGUUUACUCCCCUAGGCCGUAUACUCCAAGACAUAUGGUUAUUUGACCAUAAACUUCCAUUAGAGACAUUGCACUCCUUUGUUGCAACCCAUUAGCCUCCUAACACUUGACCAAAAGUGUUUUCCUCGUGUUUAAAUGUUUAUACUUGGAUAAUUAGUGUUUUAAUCACUAAUUAUUUAUAUACAUAUGUCUUCAUAUGUAAUUAGGAUCAUUGUGUGUGUCUAAAGUCUGCACUUGACACCGAGCACUUGCCCGAUCCUUCCUUACGAUAACAGUCCGUUCAAUUCCAGUCACUUACUGCAGGUGAGUUCAUACCCCUUAACUAAUGUUUUAAACUAUUUUUAAAUGUUUUAUGGGGGGGAUACAAGUAGAAUCAUGCUAGUUAUUAUAUCAAUCACAUGUGAUUAAUAAGUAUAAUUAUGCUAGUUAUUACAUCAAUCACAUGUGAUUAAUAUACAGCAUUCAAACGAUUUGGCUACUCAUUAGCCGUUUUACCAAACAGUUUCCUUCCAAUGAUUUUUGUAAACAUUUUAUAUGUUUUGAACUCCUUAUUACACUGUACAUUUUACUCUGUAUAUCAUAUUUCAAACUUAUUUAAAAUUGUGUUUCAAACAAAUGUUUCUUUAUACUAAAUUGUUUUAUCAAACCCAUGCCUUCAAACUGUUUUAUAGAUUGACAUCAAGUCGAUCUUUUCUUAAGAUAAUAUUUAUGUUCAAAUGUUUUACAAAACUUAUUUAUGUUUUUAUAUUAUAAAUUGCAUGCCUCUAUAUGUAUAGUUAUAUAAGAAAUGUUUAAAAGACUUAGGAAGGCUAUCCACCCUAUUUCCUUUUCGCGCUUGAGAUGUGGUCUGGUGGGAUAUCGGGUACUCAUCCGAAGGUCGUUUAAAUAUUAGUUAUAUAUCAUGUGUACAUAUAUAGUCAUAAAAGGUCCUUCCAGUUCAUCCCAUGCCCUUGGGUAGCAAGGGUAUACAUCCAUGUCCAUACGUACCAGUUAGAUUACUAGUAAACUACCAUAUGGGUAGUUUAGGAAGAUACUAGAACUAUUACUAGAACGCGAUAUCAUACAAUGAGUCAGUUCAUUCAUGAGUCAAUACUUUCUAGAACAUUACAGUACAUUACAUAUACAACUAUACUAGGAAGAGAACAUAUACAACUAUACUAGAAUGAUUACAUUACUAUACUUGCUAGGUAGAGAGCACGUACAUUACAGCUAGAACAGUUCAUUACAUUACAUAUACAAGAAUACGUUAAUUAUUGUGAUUUAAAUCGGAGCAUGACUUAAAUGUCAUGGCCCGAGUUGUAGCCAGAGUCUCUUGGAGGGAGAGCGUGAGUUUGCGUAUAGAUCUAUACUGGAUUGACUAUCCUACACCUUGCUGCUAGCUACAGCCGGACCUGCAGGUCUGCGGGUGCCAAACGUCAUUCCGUUAUUACGACCAUUCGUAUGUCGUUGUUACCAGUCGAUAGUAUGGUGCAAUUAAUCACAUGAUGCCUUAAUAUAAAUCCGGUUUAAGGUAGUUAGUACAGCAGUAGUUCUUAUAGCGCUACGUUUUAGUACUACAUUAAUUUUCCCUGUACAUAUAUUUAGUGAUCUUUUCACUUAAACUAUAAAUGUAAAAACUAUAUUUUGUUAAUAAUAGUUACACUUGGGAAAAUUACACACUUUUACAAGAAACGAACAUAUAGAACAGUUAAGUCUUGGUAGAAGACUACAUUGAGAACAGUUAGGUCUUGGUAGAAGACACCCUUAUAUAAUAGUAGGAAUCAUAGGGAUUUCUAGAGUUUUUCAAACGUUUACAGUUGUUUUACAAACAUUUUCAUACUUACAGUUCAUAUACAUUUUCAAUACUUACAAUUCAUUUACUUACAAAUUCUUACAUACAAAUUAAGACACUAAAUACUUAUGAUCUCACCAGCUUCAAAGCUGAUACUCGCUUUCAAAAUUACUUGUAUCCUCAGGUCAUCAUAGACAGGUACCGAUGCAAGGAGAAAGGAAGAUGGAGCUUGUUCAAGACUCAUCUUUCAUUUUGAUUUAUGCUUUAGUGUUUAUCAAAAUUUGACAGAACACAUUUGUAUAAUAAUUAUAUUAUUAAUGCAAUGGAUGAUGUUGUUGCUUGUUUACUACUUUACAUUGUUGUGAUACUGUACAUGACGUCCUCCGCCCCAGAACGUUUCCUCCGUUCUUGGUUUUGGGGUGUGAAAGAUUGGUAUCAGAGCAUUGUUUAUAGUGAAUUAAGUAUAUAUCAACCCAUAAAAGAUAUACUAACUAUAAAUACAUAAGGGAUUAAAAAUACUCUAACCAAGAGUUUAUACUUUAAAUAAUAUACGUGCCUGCAUUCAAACUAAAAUCGGUGUCACUAGGACAGUACAAAAGAAUUACGAUUGUUGGGCAACACAAGUGGGCUUAGAGACAUAUGGUCAAAACUGGGAAGAUAUAGCCUGAUCACCUAUAUUAUCCGAGGGUUGACUAGCAUGUGCCGAAGUUUAAUUGUGUGGUUGCAACAAUGCUAAAAUCUUACCAACCCUACCACAAUGAGAACAAUAGAACAUAACAUAAAAAUUAAAAAUACUAUAGGAGUAUUUGGUGUUACUAUAAGUACUUUAUACGUGAGAACUAAAACAGGAUCUUCAUUACUAAGUUGAUAGUUGCUAAGUGGAUACACUGAAGCUAUAUGUAAUUAGGAUGUUAUAGACUUAGAAUCUGUGAAAAUUUUACCUCACCGCUAUUCUGUGUGAAUAUGGAGUUGAGGUCACUUAUUCGAAGGUCUAUCCUGUUUAGAUUACACAUAGCUGGUAUGCACUUCACAAAUAGCGAUGUAACUAAUGAAGGUUUUCCUAAAUAAUUAUCUAGAUAGUUCGUCUAAUAAUUAUUCUUUUACCUUAAAUUCUCGCAUAGAAAACAUAGCUUGACUCCAUCCCCACAGCAACCAGUAUCUUCUGAAUGAAGUCAUAGUUGGUUGAUUUGGAGAAGAACCAGAGAAUGAUCAUCCUAUCCCAUUUGAAUGAUCACCAUGAUGAAGACCUUUCGUAUGAUGCUAACUCCGAACCAGAGGUUGAGAACCUACCCCGACCAGCUCCCUUUCCAAUUCCUAACCCUCGUCCGGCUUUUCAUGGCCCGACCCUGAGUGAGUGGAAUGCUUGGAAACAUGGAGCUAAGGACAAGAUCAGCCUAUGCCAUGUGAUGGAGACCGAAGCUUUUAUGACAUGAGCAAUGGGGGCUCAGCAGAUAGAGUCUUGCCAAUCUUGGUCCGCAGAGUGGCCCGAAAUGAGAUUACAGGUAGGACAGCCCUACAUCAGAUUACCGAAGUUGGCGCCUAUGCUAGAAUGCAUACCCUCCGGACAAUUCAUCUAGAAGAUGCUCACGAGAGAUCAGAGAAUAACCAUGAAACCUUGCUGCAAGCACUGGCUGAAUCACGAGUCGAAGUCAUAGAGCUCCGAGUACACCAGAAGGUGUACGGAAGACACCUACUUGAUGUAGAACGUUAAUUGGCUGAACUGAGAGUUCACCUGAGGGAUGACCGUCGUCAAUAGUAGAUUCUUUACCUUACUUUCCUUGUUAGAAAGUAAUCGUUUUCCGUCUUUGCCUGAUCUGGCAUUUUCUAUGAAAUUAUCUUGUACUGUAAGUACUUUUAGUUAGGUCCUUAUGCUGUUAGGAACUAUCUUCUCUGGAUAUGAUGUAAGACCUUUACAAGGUCAUUUUCCUGAAUCUUUACAUCGUGAAUAUCAAAGAUAUUGACAGCCGGCUAACUUAUGUGUCAUUCUUCAUUCAAGUACUCUUAUCAUACUCUCAUUGGAGUCUAUCUGAAACCUGCUUUUGUCAAGUCAUUGGACUAUAGCAAGUUAGAUCUGGAGACAUUUCCAUGUCUCUUUCAGUGGUUGGAUCAUGUUAGUCACCAACCCACGAUACCUAGGCUGGCACAACAAACGUUUUGAGACCAUUCUACGAACUUACUUCUACCCAUUAUAAAUAUUGUAUCGUAGGGAUGUAAGUGAACCUUCGUGAACAUACUUCCAUUCCGUACUAGGACUACAUCAUAGGGAUGUAGGUCAAACAUUGGAGAACAUAGUCUUACUCUUUUCUUGAACAAUCUAAGUACAUCUAGGGUCAACCUGAAUCGCUCACAAAUCCUUAUCUUUCAUGUUACAGAAUCAUGUCGUCAUCAGGAAACAAUCAGCCGAGCAACGAAACCCCCAUCCUCCAUAUCGACACCGCUACAUUAAAAGUUGCAGUAGCAGCUGCUGUGACAACUUUCCUUACACACAUCAACUCAGGCAACACUAACAAGACUGAAAAAGGAGUCGAGAGUUUAGAUGGUAGUACCAAAUCGGGAAACCAACAAACAGUAACAGUCACUGGCUCGCAAAGCCGAAAGACCGAGAACAAGAAACGAAAGUGUCAAGCCCAGAAAGAACGCAAGAAAUCCCAAAGGCUGGUCAUGCAACAGCAACAAGUGGAAACCCAAGCCAUCCCAGUACCGAGCAGGCCAUACGAGGGAAAACUCCCGAAGUGUGACAAGUGUAGUUUCCAUCAUCAUGGUGCUUGCCAUGAGAUGCAGUGUUGCAAUUGCCUAAAAAUAGGGCACCAUGCUCGUGACUGUGGAGCACCGGCACGACCCAUCACUCAAGUUCCUUUCAUCGGGACUAACCCUACACACGAGAGUAGUUAUAAUGCCGAACGCUUUAGGAACCAAUUUUCAAAGUGGAGUAACGAGGAAGGCACUCGUGUCCACAUAACAUUGGCUAAACACCACAAUCCCGUCACCAAAGCUAGUACUAGCCAGUCAUGCCACCAAUGCGGGGAGAUAGGGCACUUCAAGAAAGAUUUCCCGAUAGAAAAGAAUUCAGGUGGUGAUGGAAAGUUCUUAGGAUCACAGCUGCAGGAGAGCCUACUCCGGAACCCUUGUUAAUGUAACUUAGGCGUGUUGUUGUAACAGACAUAUAAACUAUCCAGAACUAGUGCAACUAGAGUCUUACCUUUUGCGAGAUCUUGUCUAUAUAAGGAUUCUCGUGCUGCGUAUACUUGUCUUUUGUAGUAUAUCUUAUUCGCAGCAAUAGUCUUGUGGUAAAUCUAAAGUACCGUAACUCUGUUCAUGGUUGCACGGUUGUGUUUUGUCUGUAAACGUCUUAUGUUCAAAUCUAAUGUCUUUAAGUUUCAGUAUGAUUCCGACAUUAUCAUACGACUCGAUUCAAGUUGUUCUUCACAAAAACAGCUUCAUAUGUACAUCUCUUUCUUCUAGAUCGCUUUUCCAGCGAAGUCGUUAUAUCAAAACACCGAAGUACUUAUGCAUGGAGUACCUCCUAGUUCUUUUCUUUUCCGAAGAAACCCCCGAAGUACCACUCGUGCAGUACGUCAAGUUCAAUCUAAGGAUUUAUACGAUUGAUCUAUCACUGAGAAAUGUAUGAAUAAGAGUGAUAUAUAUAAUCAAGGUUCUACAGGUUUAGAAUUGAUGAUUCCACUUUAACUUCUGUUUCCCCAAUGGGAUGUGAGCUUAAAGAAGAAUUAGUUAUUCGACUACCUUUUCAAUCUUAAUUAUAUACGACUCGUAUACACGAAAUUGUGAUUGUGAAACCAGGUAUGAAUCCUAAUAUGAACUUCAGGACGGAGAACUGCCUAAGCCUACGAGUAAUUGCAUCGUCAUGUGAACAAACUUAGAACCCAGUACGACUCUUGUAAACAGAUCACCCUAUAGUCUAAACACCCACGGAGAUACCAGAACAGUACAAACAACUUAGCAAACUGCACAACGAUAGAAUAAGAAGACUAGGCUUCUCACCCUGGAGAACCCCAAGUCUUAUUCUCCAAGAGAUCAGCGGAUUGCAUCGUAUGUGCCUCGGAUAUCGAGGACUCCGUCAAGAUUUCAUGGAAAUCGUUAUCUCUGCCUCGCAUUGAUGAAAUGGUUGAGCAAACUCAAGGAAAGAAUUUCUUUCAGAAAUGGAUAUGAGAUCCGAAUAUCACCAGUUCGAGUUUUAGGGAAGGAUGUCCAGAAGACUAUCUUCCGAACUCGAUGCGGACACUUCGAGUCCGUAGAGAUACCCUUCGGAUAGGACCAAUACGCCCAUAGCUUUCAUAAGCUAAAUGAGUAGGGUACGUCUUUCUUACUUGGAUCAAUUCGUCAUUUCUCCAUGUAAUGACUUACUUUUCUACCCUCGUAGUAAGAAGAAAACCCAUGGAAACAUUUCCUACAGAGGAACUUUAGCGAAGUUCUCUAGGCACGAGUUUUGAAAUUGAAGAGUCAAAUUUCUAUGACACACUGUUAGUAAUGUGAGAAAUUAUGAGCACUCUUUCAAUUUGUCAAAACCGUUGAGCAUUUAUCGACACUAGAGACGCUGACAGUCCUUCACCAAAUUUUAGGUCUUACCGACCUACCGUCUUAGUUCAUUCAGAACUCCUCGCAAAUUACAGAAACCCGUACGACUUUGACCUAGCAAGGGGUGGCCUUUGACUGGGAAGUUAAGCAAUAAGAGGAACCUUUGGAAUUCCAAGUGAGUGACCAAGCUCUUUAGGUUAACUCACUCUGUGAAUGGCUUAAUACGCUUCGUAUCGCGUGGAAAGCUAAAUCCAAUAUAGUUAGGACCUCCGAGAUCCUCAUCAGAAUCGGUCAUGUGCCUCGCACAAACUAGACCUACUCCGCGAACUCAGUAACGUACAUCCUACUCUUCGCGUCUUGAUCGUGGAACCAUACCUUUCCGUUAGGACUCUUGUAAGUCCACUCGUCGAGAUCCUCGCCUUCGUAUUAGAACCGUAGUGACCCUCGACUGAGAGGUCCAGCGGACGAAGCAACGUCGUCGCCAGUUAGUGAAGGUUCGUUGGAAUGGCAACGGAGAACCCGAUUUCACUUAAGUGCGAGAACCAAUCGAUUAAGGAAGUUUCCCCCUCACGACUCGAUCAUUCGUGCGUACUUCCUUGCCUAAAUUCUAAUUUCGGGACGAAAUUCCCAUGAACAGGGGAAUGAUGUGACAACCCGAAAUUUCCAUUCUGAACAAACCAUAUCAAGCCAAUAGAAGUAGAACAGUUACAGUGAAAACUCAGAUGUCGAGUAUAAGUUUGGCAGUUUUAAGGAUUUUACACUUAAGGAGAUAUUAGGAGAGUGGAUGCACUAGGGUUUUGUGCAACAUUGUUAUUCAAAUACUCUAGUAUAUUAGAGUUCAUUCCGAGAAUAGAAAUAUUUUCUGCCAAAAAUCCCAGGACUAUAAAUAGAAUUCUGAACCAAGUUGGUUCAUUAGUUGAAUUCCAAUUAUAGAAAAGCAAAAUUCACUCUCACGGAUCUUCGGGUUUUUAUCACAAAUUGUGAGUAACUCUUUCUAGUAGUGUUAGAAAGCUUUAAAUGUGUUCAUAACACAGAUUACAUAGCUAAAUCAUCCGAUUUAGGAGUUUACUCCCCAAGGUGUUCUUGGGUGGUAAACUCCCGAAACCAAGCCUAGAUUGUCCCCCGUGAUGUAGUACUGCCUUGGACUUGUAUAGGAGUGUAUUAGGGACAUGAAAUCAACCAAGAAUCACCCAAGUUUGGGAGUUCACGGCCCAAGAAUAUCUUAGGCCGUAAACUCCAAGAAUAGUGCUCAAAAUGGUGCUUUUAAGGCACCCAAGGCUUAGACUUUAUUUUAGACAUGUACCCUAAAGUGUUUAAAGCCUAGAAAACAUAAGAAAUCACUAUUAUCGAGGAGUUUAUGGCCAAGAAUAGUUCUUGGGCCGUAAACACCUAUGAUGGGGUCAAAUGACACCCUAACUCCUUCCUUAAGCCAAGAGACCAAUUUGGGCGUGUACCUAAAUGAGUUUUGGACUAGCUAACACACUUAGAACACCAAGAGUGAGGGAGUUUACGGCCCAAAAGGUUCUAGGGCCGUGAACUCCAUAAAAUGGUGCCAAAUGGUGCCAUAAACUCUUCUAAAGCCAAGUACAAAAGCCUAGUUUAGUUCCUAGUUAAUUUAGAGACUUGAAAACACCAUAACCACCCUCCCAAGGGAGUUUACGGCCGUAAACUCCAAGGGUAUAUGGUCCCUGGGCCGUAAACUCCUUAAAGGAGUUAAUAUGACACCCAAACACUUGAUUUAGCCUUGAAACAAUUCACCACAUGAGUUGUAUAAUUGUUUGACUUCAUUUAGGGCUUUGUUGAGAGUUUACAGCCAGGAGUUUACUCCCCUGGGCCGUAAACUCCAAGACAUAUGGUAAUUUGACCAUAGAGUUCCAUUAGAGGCAUUGCACUCCUUUGUUGCAACGCAUUAGCCUCCUAACACUUGACCAAAAGUGUUUUCUUCGCGUUUAAAUGUUUAUACUUGUAUAAUUAGUGUUUUAAUCACUAUUUAUUUAUAUACAUAUGUCUUCAUAUGAAAUUAGGAUCAUUGUGUGUGUCUAAGGUCUUCACUUGACACCAAGCACUUGCCCGAUCCUUCCUUACAAUAACAGUCCGUUCAAUUCCAGUCACUUACUGCAGGUGAGUUCAUACCCCUUAACUAAUAUUUUAAGCUAUUUUUAAAUGUUUUAUGGGGGGGUGAUACAAGUAGAAUCAUGCUAGUUAUUAUAUCAAUCACAUGUGAUUAAUAUACAGCAUUCAAACGAUUUGGCUACUCAUUAGCCGUUUUACCAAACAAUUUCCUUCCAAUGAUUUUUAUAAAUACUUUAUAUGUUUUGAACUCCUCAUUACGCUGUACAUUUUACUAUGUAUACCAUAUUUCAAACUUAUUUACAAUUGUGUUUCAAACAAAUGUUUCUUUAUACUAAACUGUUUUAUCAAACCCAUGCCUCAAACUGUUUUAUAGAUUGACAUCAAGUCGAUCUUUUCUUAAGAUAAUAUUUAUGUUCAAAUGUUUUACAAAACUUAUUUAUGUUUUUAUAUUAUAAAUUGCAUGCCUCUAUAUGUAUAGUUAUAUAAGAAAUGUUUAAAAGACUUAGGAAGGCUAUCCACCCUAUUUCCUUUUCGCGCUUGAGAUGUGGUCUGGUGGGAUAUCGGGUACUCGUCCGAAGGUCNUGUGGUCUGCUGGGAUAUCGGGUACUCAUCCGAAGGUUGUUUAAAUAUUAGUUAUAUAUCAUGUGUACAUAUAUAGUCAUAAAGGCCCUUCCAGUUCAUCCCAUGCCCUUAGGUAGCAAGGGUAUACAUCCAUGUCCAUACGUACGUUUAGAUUACUAGUAAACUUCCAUAUGGGUAGUUUAGGGAGAUACUAGAACUAUUACAAGAACGCGAUAUCAUACAAUGAGUCAGUUCAUUCAUGAGUCUAUACUUGCUACAUAGAGAGCACAUACAUUACAGCUAGAAGAUUUCAUUACUACGAGUACAUAUAAAACUAUACUAGAGAAUAACAUAUACAACUAUACUAGAAUGAGAACUUAUACAACGAUACUAGAACGAUUACAUUACCAUACUUGCUAGGUAGAGAGCACAUACAUUACAGCUAGAACAGUUCAUUACAUUACACUUACAUUAAUAUGUUCAUAAAAUUGUGAUCCACUGUGUCGGAGCAUGCCUUAAAUGUCAUGGCCCGAGUUGUAGCCAGAGUCUCUUGGAGGGAGAGCGUGAGUUUGCGUAUAGAUCUAUACUGGAUUGACUAUCCUACACCUUGCUGCUAGCUACAGCCGGAUCUGCAGGUCUGUGGGUGCCAAACGUCAUUCCGUUAUUACGACCAUUCGUAUGUCGUUGUUACCAGUCGAUAGUAUGGUGCAAUUAAUCAUAUGAUGCCUUAAUAUAAAUCUGUUUUAAGGUAAUUAGUACUGCAUUAGUUCUUAUAGCGCUACGAUUUAGUACUACAUUAAUUUUCCCUGUACACAUAUUUAGUGAUCUUUUCACUUAAACUAUAAAUGUAAAAACUAUAUUUUGAUAAUGAUAGUUACACUUGGGAAAAUUACACACUUUUACAAGAGACGAACAUAUAGAACAGUUAAGUCUUGGUAGAAGACUACAUUGAGAACAGUUAGGUCUUGGUAGAANAAGUCUUGGUAGAAGACUCCCUGUUAUAAUAGUAGGGAUCAUAGGGAUUUCUAGGGUUUUUCAAAUGUUUACAGUUGUUUUACAAACAUUUUCAUACUUACAGCUCCUAUACAUUUUCAAUACUUACAAUUCAAUUACUUACAAAUUCUUACAUACAGAUUAAGACACUAAAUACUUAUGAUCUCACCAGCUUCAAAGCUGAUACUCGCUUUCAAAAUUACUUGUAUCCUCAGGUCAUCAUAGACAGGUACCGAUGCAAGGAGAAAGGAAGAUGGAGCUUGUUCAAGACUCAUCUUUCAUUUUGAUUUAUGCUUUAGUGUUUAUCAAAAUUUGACAGAACACUUGUAUUAUAAUUCUAUUAUUAAUGCAAUGGAUGAUGUUGUUGCUUGUUUACUACUUUUCAUUGUUGUGAUACUGUACAUGACGUCCUCCGCCCCAGAACGUUUCCGCCGUUCUUGGUUUUGGGGUGUGAAAGAUUGGUAUCAGAGCAUUGUUUAUAGUGAAUUAAGUAUAUCAACCCAUAAAAGAUAUACUAACUAUAAAUACAUAAGGGAUUAAAAAUACUCUGACCAAGAGUUUAUACUUUAAAUAAUAAAAUAUUUAAGUAAGUAUACGUGCCUGCAUUCAUACUAAAAUCGGUGUCACUAGGACAGUACAAAAGAAUUACGAUUGUUGGGCAACACGAGUGGGCUUAGAGACAUAUGCUCAAAACUGGGAAGAUAUAGCCUGAUCACCUAUCCGAGGGUUGACUAGCAUGUGCCUAAGUUUAAUUGUGUGGUUGCAAAAAUGCUAAAAUCUUACCAACCCUACCACAAUGAGAACAAUAGAACAUAACAUAAAAAUUAAAAAUACUAUAGGAGUCUUUGGUGUUACUAUAAGUACUUUAUACGUGAGAACUAAAACAGGAUCUUCAUUACUAAGUUGAUAGUUGCUAAGUGGAUACACUGAAGCUAUAUGUAAUUAGGAUGUUAUAGACUUAGAAUCUGUGAAAAUUUUACCUCACCCCUAUUCUGUGUGAAUAUGGAGUUAAGGUCACUUAUUCGAAGGUCUAUCCUGUUUAGAUUACACAUAGCUGGUAUGCACUUCACAAAUAGCGAUGUAACUAAUGAAGGUUUUCCUAAAUAAUUAUCUAGAUAGCUCGUCUAAUAAUUAUUCUUUUACCUUCAAUUCUCGCAUAGAAAACAUAGCUGGACUCCAUCCCCACGGCAACCAGUACCUUCUGAAUGAAGUCAUAGCUAGUUGGUUUGGAGAAGAACCAGAGAAUGAUCAUCCUAUCCCUUUUCAAUGAUCACCAUGAUGAAGACCUUUCGUAUGAUGCUAACUCCGAACCAGAGGUUGAGAACCUACCCCAAGCAGCUCCCUUUCCAAUUCCUAACCCUCGUUCGGCUUUUCUUGGCCCGACCCUGAAUGAGUGGAAUGCUUGGAAACAUGGAGCCAAGGACAAGAUCAGCCUAUGCCAUGUGAUGGAGACCGAAGCUUUUACGACUUGAGCAAUGGGGGCUCAGCAGAUAGAGUCUUUGCAAUCUUGGUCCACAGAGCGGCCCGAAAUGAGAUUCAAGGCAGGACAGCCCUACAUCAGAUUACUGAAGUUGUCGCCUAUGCUAGAAUGCAUACCCUCUACACCAUUCGUCUAGAAGAUGCUCAUGAGAGAUCAGAGAGAAACCAUGAAACCUUGCUGCAAGCGCUGGCUGAAUCACGAGCCGAAGUCAUAGAGCUCUGAGUACACCAGAAGGUGUACGAAAGACACCUACUUGAUGUAGAACAUCAACUGGCUGAACUGAGAGUUCACCUGAGGGAUGACCGUCGUCAAUAGUAGAUUCUUUACCUUGCUUUCCUUGUUAGAAAGUAAUCGUUUUCUGUCUUUUUCUGAUGUGGCAUUUUCUAUGAAAUUAUCUUGUACUGUAAGUACUUUUAUUUAGGUCCUUAUGUUGUCAGGAACUAUCUUCUCUGGAUAUGAUGUAAGACCUUUACAAGGUCAUUUUCCUGAAUCUUUACGUCGUGAAUAUCAAAGAUAUUGAUAGCCGGCUAACUUCUGUGUCAUUCUUCAUUCAAGUACUCUUAUCAUACUCUUAUUGGAGUGUAUCUGAAACCUGCAUUAGUCAAGUCAUUAGACUAUAGCAAGUUAGAUCUGGAGACAUUUCCAUGUCUCUUUCAGUGGUUGGAUCAUGUUAUUCACCAACCCACGAUACCUCGGCUGGCACAACAAAUGUUUUGAGACCAUUCUACGAACUUGCUUCUACCCAUUAUAAAUAUUGUAUCAUAGGGAUGUAGGUGAACCUUCGCGAACAUACUUCCAUUCCGUACUAGGACUACAUCAUAGGGAUGUAGGUCAAACAUUCGAGAACAUAGUCUUACUCUUUUCUUGAACAAUCUAAGUACAUCUAGGGUCAACCUUAAUCGCUCACAAAUCCUUAUCUUUCAUGUUACAGAAUCAUGUCAUCAUCAAGAAACAAUUAGCCGAGCAACGAAACCCCCAUCCUCCAUAUCGACACCGCUACAUUACAAGCUGCAGUAGCAGCUGCUGUGACAACUUUCCUUACACACAUCAACUCAGGCAACACAAACAAGACUGAAAAAGGAGUCGAGAGUUUUGGAUGGUAGUACCAAACCGGGAAACAAACAAACAGUAACGGUCACUGGCUCGCAAAGCCGAAAGACCGAUAACAAGAAACGAAAGUGUCAAGCCCAGAAAGAACGCAAGAAAUACCAAAGGCUGGCUAUGCAACAGCAACAAGUGGAAACCCCUGCCAUCCCAGUACCGAGCAGGCCAUACGAGGGAAAACUCCCGAAGUGUGAUAAGUGUAGUUUCCAUCAUCAUGGGGCUUGCCAUGAGAUGCAGUGUUCCAAUUGCCUAAAAAUAGGGCACCAUGCUCGUGCCUGUGGAGCACCGGCACGAUCCAUCACUCAAGUUCCUUUCGUCGGGACUAACCCUACACACGAGAGUAGUUAUAACGCCGAACGCUUUAGGAAGCAAUUUUCAAAGUGGAGUAACGAGGAAGGCACUCCUGUCCAGAUAACAUUGGCUAAACACCGCAAUCCCGUCACCAAAGCUAGUACUAGCCAGUCAUGCCACCAAUGCGGGGAGAUAGGGCACUUCAAGAAAGAUUGCCCGAUAACAAAGAAUUCGGGUGCUGAUGGAAAGAUUCUUAGGAUCACAGCUGCAGGAGAGCCUACCCCGGAAUCCUUGUUAAUGUAACUUAGGCGUGUUGUUGUAACAGACAUAUAAACUAUCCAGAACUAGUGAAACUAGAGUCUUACCUUUUGCGAGAUCUUGUCUAUAUAAGGAUUCUCGUGCUGCGUAUACUUGUCUUUUGUAGUAUAUCUUAUUCGCAGCAAUAGUCUUGUGGUAAAUCUAAAGUACUGUAACUCUGUUCAUGGUUGCACGGUUGUGUUUUGUCUGUAAACGUCUUAUGUUCAAAUCUAAUGUCUUUAAGUUUCAGUAUGAUUCCGACAUUAUCAUACGACUCGAUUGAAGUUGUUCUUCACGAAAACAACUUCAUACGUACAUCUCUUUCUUCUAGAUCGCUUUUCCAGUGAAGCCGUUAUAUCAAAACACCGAAGUACUCAUGCAUGAAGUACCUCCUAGUUCUUUUCUUUUCCGAAGAAACCCCCGAAUUACCACUCGUGCAGUACGUCAAGUUCAAUCUAAGAAUUUAUACGAUUGAUGUAUCACUGAGAAAUGUAUGCAUAAGAGUGAUAUAUAUAAUCAAGGUUCUACAGGUUUAGAAUUGAUGAUUCCACUUUAACUUCUGUUUCCCUAAUGGGAUGUGAGCUUAAAGAAGAAUCAGUUAUUCGACUACCGUUUCAAUCUUAAUUAUAUACGACUCAUAUACACGAAAUUGUGAUUGUGAAACCAGGUAUGAAUCCUAAUAUGAACUUCAGGAAUGAGAACUACCUAAGCCUACGAGUAAUCGCGUCGUCAUGUGAACAAACUUAGAACCCAGUACGACUCUUGUAAACAGAUCACCCUAUAGUCUAAACACCCACGGAGAUACCGGAAUAGUACAAACAACUUAGCGAACUGCACAACGAUAGAAUAAGAAGACUAGGCUUCUCACCCUGGAGAACCCCCAGUCUUAUUCUCCCAGAGAUCGGCGGAUUGUAUCGUAUGUGCCUCGGAUAUCGAGGACUCCGUCAAGAUUUCAUGGAAAUCGUUAUCUCUGCCUCGCAUUGAUGAAAUGGUUGAGCAAACUCAAGGAAAGAAUUUCUUUUAGAAAUGGAUCUGAGAUCCGAAUAUCACCAGUUCGAGUGUUAGGGAAGGAUGUCCAGAAGACUAUCUUCCGAACUCGAUGCGGACACUUUGAGUCCGUAGUGAUACCCUUCGGAUAGGACCAAUACGCCCAUAGCUUUCAUGAACUAAAUGAGUAGGGUACGUCUUUCUUACUUGGAUCAAUUCGUCAUUUCUCCAUGUAAUGACUUACUUAUCUACCCUUGUAGUAAGAAGAAAACCCAUGUAAACAUUUCUUACAGAGGAACUUUAGCGAAGUUCUCUAGGCACGAGUUUUGAAAUUGAAGAGUCAAAUUUCUAUGACACACUGUUAGUAAUGUGAGAAAUUAUGAGCACUCUUUCAAUUUGUCAAAACCGUUGAGCAUUUAUCGACACUAGAGACGCCGACAGUCCUUCACCAAAUUUUAGGUCUUACCGACCUACCGUCUUAGUUCAUUCAGAACUCCUUGCAAAUUACAGAAACCCGUACGACUUUGACCUAGCAAGGGGUGGCCUUUGACUGGGAAGUUAAGCAAGAAGAGGAACCUUUGGAAUUCCAAGUCAGUGACCAAGCUCUUUAGGUUAACUGACUCUGGGAAUGGCUUAAUACGCUUCGUAUCGCGUGGAAGGCUAAAUCCAAUAUAGUUAGGACCUCCGAGAUUCUCAUCAGAAUCAGUCAUGUGCCUCGCACAAACUAGACCUACUCCGCGAACUCAGUAACGUACAUCCUACUCUUUGCGUCUUGAUCGUGGAACCAUACCUUUCUGUUAGGACUCUUGUAAGUCCACUCAUCGAGAUCCUCGCCUUCGUAUUAGAACCAUAGUGACCCUCGACCGAGAGGUCCAACGGACAAAGCAACGUCGUCGCCAGUUAGUGAAGGUUCGUUGGAAUGGCAACCGAGAACCCGAUUUCACUUAAGUGCGCUAGAACCAAUCGAUUAAGGAAGUUUCCCCCUCACGACUCGAUCAUUCGUGCGUACUUCCUUGCCUAAAUUCUAAUUUCGGGAUGAAAUUCCCUUCAACAGGGGGAUGACGUGACAACCCGAAAUUUCCAUUCAGAACAAACAAUAUCAAGCCAA